GGGGGCUAUACCUAGCCCCAUCUAGUAAUAUAGAUAGGUACAUGGACGCACAAAUGUGAGACUUAUCUAACAGUUGGUACCAAAAACUCUGUUAGCAGUUAAUGGAAAACACAAUAUAUAGAAAAUUCUCUUUGUCUAGGUGUAUGUGUUUUAAAGAACAUGCGUAUACAGGGUAAUUGCAAUCUUCAUACUAACGCCCGAAAUCAAUUGGUCAAACCCAAAGCGCCUAGUUAUCAAGACGAAGUUGUAAAGCAGACAAUGGUAUUUUGAACCUGUGACAUUUGUGUUACACUUCUCGAAGCUAUGCCACCUGGCCUGAGCCAGGAUGGUCCGUGGGUGGCACGGGGAUUUUAACCUGGGAGAAUGUCUAAAAUGGACAAGUAUAGGAUAUGGAAAGAUUUCACAAAUAUAAAAAAACACUUUAUGUUAUCAGGAAUUCUAAGCUAACCUUUGACUUUCACUUAAGGUUGAUUAACAGCAAACCUUUGAAAAGAAAUAUCAAUGGUUAAAUUGCUGACAUUCUACUUAUAAUGUUUUCUCCUGUUAGGUAUCAGAUAUCAACUUUGGCAACAAAACUUGGUGUCAGAAACAUUGCCUUCCUUGGCUCUGGUUUAUUGGUAGCAAAUUACAUUGCUGCUAUUGUUGUAGCUUUUCUCAUGCCUCAGGUAUCUUACUGCUACCUUUGACCUCCCUUGUAGCUUCUUUUCUCCUUCUGGCUAAAGAGACACGAACCCAACAAGUGUUGUACAUAAUAUGCAUUUUACUGGAAUCAUUUCCAGUACCUUGUUUUUGCAUAUCUUUAAUUCAACUCCAGUAAACCCUUAGAUGGUAGAAACACAAAUAGGGACUAUUAUACUACUACCUUACUGCUACUCACAGUUUUAGUAUGCACUUCCAUAAACAGUGUUACGAUUUGGAAGAUGCAAAAGCACUUGUAAAUGUAGGUAUAUGCACUAUCUUAGCCUCCAAAGGGCAUCAAGAUUUAUUCAAGGUUAUUGCAAUGAGUAGCAAACAGGAUUGUGGUUUGAAUAUUUAAAGUUAUCAUCAAUCUUGUGGCAUGUUUGAUGAUUAUGAUUGUAGGUGCAGUCAUGUACCUGCAUGUAAAUUUUGAAAGAUGUGCACCUUUUCUUCCUCAAUUUCACGCAACAUGUUCAAUUAAUAUGGCCUCUAUCCCAUUCUGUCACUUCUCCCAUGGUUGAUCUUGGACACUUUUUAUAUAAUCCCACAAUUUUUUUCUCGUUUAUAUUUAUGCUGUAAAAAUGCAUUCAUUCAGACUCUUAGUGAUGAUUUGUUACUGUAAUUUUGUCUUUUGUCCAAUAUGCCAAAUAGUCUCAUGAAUUUUCUUAUAUUUCUGAAGUAUAUCAGCAUGAAGGAUUGCUGUUCUUUCCAUUGGAUUUUCCAGAACAGUGUGCAUGCUUCAAUAUAGGUAGCGUUACAUGGCUCCUUUUGCACUAAUAUUUUCUAAUUUGCAGGCCUUCAGGCGCACUGUCAUGGUCCCUGUGCAUGUUGCCCUUGCAGCUGGUUUAAUUUUCCAGGUAAACAUGUUUAGUAUUGUGAAUGAUCUAUCCUGCAGCUUAUGUUCUUAUUGUUUCUUCUUAAUAUAGAGAUACGCAGCUCUCUUGCGUGUUUGAGAACAUGUUCAUAAUUGUUCGAUGCAAAGCUAUGUGAUUAGUGAAUUGGACUAAUCAGUAUUAUAACCUUGCUUCUGUGGCAUUUGUGUUCUAGUUCUGACAUGUUUGUUCUCUACCAUGAUUUCAGACAUGGGUUCUGGAGCAAGCGAAGUACACUAAGGUGAAUCAUUUUUUACUUGCAUGGUGUAUUUGUUUAAUCUUUUUCUUCAUGGAAGAUCACUUGCAAAAGUAUUUGUGAUAUCUGGGGGCAAAAACUUAUGAUAAAAGGGUGGUUCUUUUGUUUAGUGACCAUAUGUGCCUCAUUUCUAAUUUAGAAGUUUGCCUUCAUCUGUUUUACAGGAUGCUAUUUCGCAAUAUUAUCGGUUCAUCUGGAAUCUCUUCUAUGCUGAAUAUAUCUUCUUUCCGUUGAUAUAGAGCCUAGAGGUAACUUUCUUUUAUUAGCAUUUGACCAUACUUUUAAAUUUCGUUUACUUCCAAGAUUUUAUUUCAUAAAAAUUCUCAGAUCUGGUAGUUCAGACUUCAGAGUGGGCUACAGCCUAAUGAUGGGAGCAAAUCAAAAAGGGAGGAGUCGAUAAAGUGCAGGGGCGAUCAUAGUCGGCUGAUGCCCCUUUUGUGCAUAUGAAGCGUACUUGUUGUGCAUAUGUUGUACGGAAACAAAAUGCAGUGAUGUUUCAAGGAUCCUGGAGUUUUAGGAGCUUGGGAAGCUUUUGUCAUGCUGAGGGUGAGGGCUUUAACUUGUUGGAGCUGCGGUAGCUGGCUUUGGCACAAAUUCAACAGUGCCCCGUUCUGUAGGGUCUUGUCUGGGAGGGCUUGAGCUCAGGUCUGACGUCGAUGGAAACUCAAGCUAGUUCUGGCCCGAAACAGGUGGUGGUGCUGGUGCUGGUGCAGCGGCCAAGCCAACUAGCCAAGCACGUUUCUUGUCACUCGAGGUUAAGCUAGUAUAUAUGCGAGACAUAUUGAUGGCGUGCCCUCACGAGUCACGCGAAUACAGACCACGGACUACUAGUAUCCCCUUGGCUUAUACUGCAUAUAUAUUUCUUGAGCUUCAGCUGUACCUGUUGUAUAGCAGGAACCACUGUCUUUUCCACCGUUCGAUCUGGAAGGACUGAAAGUUCCUCCAUGUGUCAUCAUUUGUCUGCAUCAUGUCAGCUAGCUUCGUGACAUACUAUAGCAAUGCGGCCAAGAGCCAGGGAGGCAGGGAGCUACAGGCAGCGGUCGCACGAUGCUCGGCCUCCGCCGUCGGUCACAACGUGCGACGAGGCGGCUGUUCGAGCGGAAGUUGUGGGGAGGAAGGCGCGCAUGGCGAGGUGCCGGCACGCAUGGUCGCGGACUGGGACGGCGGAGCCGGGCUGUUCCCAGCGUGGGAGGUAGCCUCCCGGCUCCGCUGCCGCUGUCCCCGGCGGACUCGGGCUCCCGGAGCCGCCCUCACCGGCCGCACCAAACACACAGCGGCAGGCGUUCCUUCCAGCUGUGGUCCGAGCCCGGGUGAUGUUUGCCUCUUUCUUCGGCAAUUGAACAUUUGAACCUGUAUGGGAAAUGCUCUUGUCAUCUCAACGAUCAAACUGCUGUCAUCUUAUCUGCUGCGCCCUGGAAUUUGCUCAAAAAACAUGGAGAACGGAGAGCCACGGCGGCACGGCCGGCGGAGCCGCGGCCGCCCACGCUGUGCCACUUCCACGACACGCGGGGCGUGGCAAGGCUCGCCAGGGACGUGGCUCACCUGAAGGACGUCGCCGUCGAUCGCGACGCCAGGAGAGGUUGCGCUAGGGCCUUGGAAGUUCUGCAUGCGUAGGGCGCACCCGGCGGUGGCAUUCGACGCAAAGAGCAAACACGAUGAUCUUGAUCGGCGGGAUGAAGGUACGCCACUGGCCGAGGAUUGCGUAUAGUUUGGUUUGGUUUUGAGGCAGAGGGGGGUGUUGCAUCGGGCAGGAGUUGCUACAGCACGAUGGAUUGGUGCUCGCUUGUCCGGAUUGGGAGACCAUCUUUUGCUUGCUCUAAAGCAAACACCACACCAGGAACAACACAUCGUUCCUAAAACCCUGGCUUACAUAGCAGCAAGAACCAUGUCUCAACUCUCAACGCACCAUGACAAAACCCUGGCUUACAUAGCUAAAAUGCAGCAAGAACCAUGUCUUAAUAACGCACCAUGACAAACAUUUUUUCUGAUGCAAACUAGAACAAACUUAACUACUAAAACAAGCUAGUAGAAUUUGCAAUCGUUGGACACCGCGCAGCUCGCUCGGUAGCCGCCCUCGAGCAGCUUCACGAGACGAACCUGACGAUCUGCUCCUGGCGUUGCAGCUUGCGGGCGACCUCGGAAGAGACGAAGGCGUCGACGCAGGCAUAGAUGAUCUGCUCGUCGCUGAGGCCUGAGGCUGCGCGUCCCAGCGGCUCAUGGUCACCCUGUGCGGCUUCGCGAGGUCGACGCCCAAGAUGGCGGCAACGAUGGCGCGCAGCCCAGCCUGGCAGAGGUCUGGGCGGCCGCCCAUGUACUCCUCCGCAUAGCCCCGCAGGUCCACCGCCCUGCCUACCUCCAGGCCGUAAAUUUUGUUUCCAGUACAUGGAUUAGGAUUUUAAAAGAUCAAACCUCGUAAAUUAUGACGAACAGUUAAUCAGACUACAUGCAAAGUUGAUACUGCAUCUACAAACGAAUGGACGUAGUGUUUUCUUUUUGCACCACAAUAACCUCGUUCUGGUUUUGCGCACAGCAUAACUCCCAAUCAUAUCCACUGCCAUCAUGAACAUAAGUUUGUACUGCAUCUUUCAAGUGUCUUCAACCAUUUCCCGUAACAGCACCGAGUACCAUAACAAACUUGAGGUAGUUCCAGCCUUCCAGCAGAGACAUCCACAUCGAAGAAAGGAAUUUAGCAUACAUAUAUCAAUAUAAUGUACCCACGGUUUACAAUAAAACUGUAGCAAGAUACAAUCUAUCCAUGUUCCUUUUACUGGGCUGCAGCACCAAAAUUAUCCAACUGGAUGAUACAACAACAAAAUCAGUUACAUAGUUUGGGGUUUAAUUCCCCUCGACGCCUGCUGCUGUCACUGCUGGUCCUUUGCCUACCCAGUAUUUGUAAGCAGCAUAAACAGAGGACACGACUACGGCGCCAAGGACCAAGUAAGUGAAGAUCGUGGCCACACUGAUUUGGCUGGGGCCCUUCUUCACUUUGCUUUGUGCCAGCAACGCCUUUGGCUUGAGCUUGGCCAUGCUGCGCUUCUGAUAAUGCCAAGCGAAAAGGACAGAAUCAGUGUAAGCAAGUUGUGGAUAGUACCAAAAAGAAAAAGACAAGCAUGGUUUUUGUUGGGCCAGUGUCAAUCAAAAAAAAAUCAACAGUAAGUCUGUAGCUACAAUGCAUCAGGUUGUCAAAAAUAAAAAUGUUGCUAAGGUGAUUGUUUCUUUCAAGCUACUAAUACCUGAUUCAUAGUGUAAAAUAGGUAGUAGAAUACGGUAAUCUGAAAAUUUGAAACAGGUAUAUAACGGAGGCAAUGGUGGGAUCAGAACUUCAGGUUGCAAGUGUUCCAUGUGGGGCACAAAAUGGAACUGCUGGCAAACUUUGCAUCUUGAUUGAACCAAAGUUCCAAUUGGUUUACAAACAUUCACAGAGUACAGUCUCUUGGUCUUAUGUAAAUAGCAAUAUGAUUCAAAAGAGGAGCUUAACAAAAUAACAAGUGAUGAAUGGGGCUGGGUGCAAAUAGCGUGACAGCAUUUAGAUUCGUGCACUCAAAAGUUGCUGACAUGCAAACUAUUGGAUUUUUCAUUUAUAGCUGAAAGACUUGUUGGACAGGACAGAUAAAAGAUGAUAGUCUCAUGGAGUUACAUGAUUAUUGAAACAAGAGGCAAAGAACCCACUUGAAAACUCCAUCCACAACAUAAGUUUCAGGUAAGUGUUACUUGUAUGAUAUUGCAUAGGGGACAAUUUGAUGGACAUAAAUAAAAAAAUCGUGAAUCAAUUUCUACAACUUUGCAGCCUGAAUUAACUUAUGCACUCAAUCAAUUUACUUGCUUCAUAGGAAGCAGCAACUAGCUAAUCAAACAAGUCAUUCCUCCUUUCCAUCCUCUCUUACUACUUCAGAAUUCAGUUGUGGCCAAGGCAAGUUCAUACUUUGUUUUAGUGGAAGUUUGAAAUUUCAGCUACCAUACUUAACUACAUUAAAGUGGAAAAGGACCAUCAGGAAAUGAUUAAGGAAAGAUAAUUCAAUCAUGAAACAUAGUUCUCAACAAGAACAACUUUGGACAGCAUAUUUUCAUUUUGCUCUGUAAAUGCAAGUGCUAGAUACAAAAAGCACAAGGAUACACUAGCUUUUUAAAAAAAGUUAUAUCAUGAACGGUGUCUUAAACUAUAUAUAUUCACUUGUCACCUCAGAGCACCUUCCAAGCCAAUAUUGUUCGUAUGAAAAACUAAAUGCAAGAUUGGAGAGCAUAUCAACCGCUUGUUAUCUAAAGCAGCUUCCUUUGCUAGAUGGCACAAUGAUUCUCUGUCUUACUUAUGGGUGCAGCCUUUCAAACAAAAAUUAUGUGGUGCAGACCAAGGUUCUGCGUACUGGGCAUAUCCUCAUAGUUCGAUACACCCCAUUUCCGACUGGGUCAAAGACGACAAUCAGACUAAGCAUGACCAGGGAGGGCAGACUUAGCGGAGGGUGCAGGGAUCCAGAUGCAGCACCAAAUUUCCUUGGGGGAAAGAAUGCUAUCAAGUGGUCCACCACGCCCAGGGACAGGGCUUGGUUGGGAGUCAACAUGGGAUGGGAUGGGGUCAUCCCUAUUUUCUAGGAUGAAAUGAUUCCCUCUCACGUUUGGUUGCAGGGUUGGGUUCAUCCCUUUUUUUUGUUUGGUUGGAGGGAUGAGAGGGGAUAGGAUGAUCCCAUCUCAUGUUUGGUUGGAGGGAUGAGGAUAAAUAACUAGAUAUGGUCACUUGCAUUGUACUCCUGGUAAGCUUACCUCAUUUGUACACAAAAAAAAAAAAUUGCAGCUUUUGCUUAGGCUAGUCACUUUGAUUGAUAAAGCAACAUGCUAGCUAAUAUAGAGUGUAACCAUAUAAGCUCCAAAACCGAAUAUUACAACCUCCAGAAACAUGCCACGAUGCUCCAAAAUUGAAUAAUAUAGAGUCAAAUUUUCUAUUGGAACCAUACAUACCAUUGGAACAAGCAAAAUCAUAUUGUCCCAUAUCCAUCCAGACCAUUGGAACCAUACAGACCCAUCCAAGAAUCCAUAUAUACGUAAUCUGACACAAGAAUCCAGACCCUCGACUAGCAAGCAAAAGAACCAAAUCACAUAUGGAGUCACAUAUAUCAUAUUUAGGCAUUCAAACCAUAUUAUACUGUCACAUAGACAAUACUAACCAUACAUGCUGGGUGAGACAUAGACAAAAUUGCUUCAGCUAAGCAUAGACAAAAUGGCUAGCUGCUCACUAGUUGAAUGCUAAUAAAGGCAGGCAACAAAUAUAAGCCUAAUGCUAAUAAAGGCAGGCAACAAAUAUAAGCCUACAACAAGCUAACACAUCCUAACAGGGUGAUACAUCAUGAAUUUUGUUCAGUAACAUCAAGCAAGCACAACCACCAAGAUCAAACCUUUUUACAUACCCACCCAAUCCAGUAAAAUUUCAAGCACCAAGAAACGCAGUAAAAUUUCAGGCAGUAAAAUUUUCUUGCAUGGAGAGACUCUGGUCACCAGGAGCUGUGCGACAUAUCAGUGUGACGAUCGCUAGCACAUAGCACAUAGUCCAAUUCAACAACUAACAAGGGCAGAGCAUAUCUAUGUGCAUUCGUAAUCAUCUAGCAUAAUCAUACUGUUCCAACCCAAAUCAUUUUGACCUUUACCAGUGAUCAUGAGCAUGGAAUAGCAUCAGAAACAAAACACAUCACAACAUGCCUACCAAACAUCACAACAACAGGCUAGGGUUUCAUACCUUGGGAUCUCACUAUGAUGCAGAACGAGGAUCUGCACUGGGUGUUCUUGGCGUGGGAUCCAGAUGCAUCCUCAAAAUUUUUGGGGGAAAUUUUGCUAUCCCGUGAUCCACACAACGCAGCAAACAAAGCGGACGGAGUGGAACAUCCACCUCAGGAAGAAAUACUUGGAAUUCAACUUCUCUCUACCUCCAAGCAACAAACAAAGGGAAGAGCGGGACAGGAACGGAUCCAGAGCACGCGAAUUUUGCACGGGCUUGCCGUUGGGAACCAACUAAGCACGGGUAGCUUAUCAGGGCAUCAGGCUAACCCUGGAAGUACGAGCAGGAGUACAGGGCCGCAAAUCCACAAGCGAUCCCGCCACCAUAGGCGUUGGUUGCUACGGUUUGGACGGAUCCAUGCACAACGGAUAAAAAUAGCGACGAACUAGCGGAUCGGAACGGGAACCGCGCCGCUCACAUCCCUCAACCCGUACACGCGAAGCUAGGGAUUCCUCACCUAGGAACCGGAGUCUGCACCCCAAGCGGCGGACGAGCGAGGACGACGAGGGAGUCGAGGACGAGGCGGCGGGCGCCUCUACCGCUACGGGCGAAUGUAUGGAAUAGUCUCGGGGGGAGACCGCAAGGGAUUGCCUGGACUGGAUCUGGAUCUGGAUCGAGGCGUGUUGGAAGCAGGGACGAAACGCCGAGGCCCGAGGCCGAGACGCGGCUGUGCGCCACCGUCCGCUGGGUUUAGCCCGGGUGGGAGCUCGUCGCUCGAUCAGGUUCGGCUGGCCUGGUGCGUGAGCUGUCCGGCUGCUGGUGUUGGCUGACUGGGAGGGGGGUUCUGCCACAUGGAACCCAUUUGCUUGGACAAUUAUACCACACAAUAUGACAAGACACGUACUCUAUUUUAUUAUCAGAGAAAAUAAAAAGAUUAUACACCAUAUCAGGUCACGUAAUUUAAUUUACUGCACCAACAUUAGUGACACUUGUUGCAUAAUUGCAGAACACAGACCACCCUAUUUACCAGAUCAGAUCACGUAAUUUAAUUUACUGCACCAACAUUAGAGACAUUUCUGUAUAGUUGCAGAACACAGACCACCCUAUCACGUCAUGUACUUCAAUUUACUGCCACACGCGAAUUUCGCACGGCUUGUCGUUAGGCACCAACUAAAGCACAGAUGGUUUAUCAGGUUAACCCUGCAAAUACGCCGCAACUCCAUAAGUGAUCCCGCCACCCGUAGGCGUUGCUGUAGUCCGGACGGAUCCAUCCGUAGCAGAUAAAAAAACGACGAACUAACGGAUCAGAGCCGGAGAAAUAACUAAACUACGCUUCCAUAGCGAACACAAUUCCUCGAUCCGGCUAAGCGAAACUAGACAUUCCUUACUAGGGAAGGGAGAGAGCAGCCCACGUACGGACUAACGAGCGCCCCCCUUUGUGAUGGAGGACGACAAGCGAGUGGAGGACGAGGAUGCGGACGAGGCGGAGGGCCCUUUUGCACUCUCAGGACAAAAGGGGGUUCCUUAAGGCGGUAAGCGCUUGCCAUUUCCUCCAUGAUUAGCUUUCGAGCGAAUCGAAGGUCGCAUUGGCUCGGGCUUGUCACCAAUUGAUCCAGUGAUCGGACAGUGACAGCAUCAGGAAUUCAGGAUUCAGAGCACUGAUGGUGUCGGUCGAUACCUGAUCGACCUAUCGAUCCCAAGCAAGCAAGCAGGUGGUAUCCCGGUGCACGGAGGUGAUCCGCGGGCCCGGGGCAGAUUGUGCGUGAUGGCGUGGAUGAUGCAUCGGGUGCGUGAUCGCGAGAUGCUCUGGCGGCCUGGCUACUUCCGGAGCUGAAAAGGGUGCGCGUGGGGGCGGCCGGGCGACCAUCGUGUGCUCUCGGAGCCAUAGCUACCAUAGAUAGCAAGCUCGGGGCAUGACUCGUCGUGACGGCAGUAGGUGGAUGCACCAGACACUCAAGGUGUCUAUUCCAUCCCAGUUCGUUUUGGCGCCGCGGGCUUGUAGAUGCGCUCGAAUCGAAUCGGUGCUGAUCCUGAACCUCUGCUCCGCUGAAGUCUUACAGUAAGGGCACUUGGUUGGUGGGACCACCUUGUCAGUAUUACAAGCAGACGCGGAAUAGUCAAAACUCAAAAGCCUCCACCGGCUCCCGUUGGCCAAGUCGGGUCCAGCCAGCAGCCCGAUGAGGCCCAGCAGGCCUGUACCAUCUCGGCCCGUGCAUGACAGCGGCUGCCGACCGAGGAUUCAUCCCAAACGCUCCUGAUGGUGCUUUGUGCGGUCGCAAAGUUGCCACGGGUUUCCACUCUAGGAUUAAGCUGUUCUCGUCGUUUUACACGGUGGCUUCGGUAAGCACACACAACGCAUACCGGGACAACAAAAGGAGUGCUGGGGGGAGAAAAAAAAUACACAUUUCUUCUUCGAGAAAGGAGAAAAAGGAAGCCAGCUUUGAGCCAAAGAACGACUAUAACAAGCACAUCACGACCAGCACAGUUCACAGACACUUCAGUUAUUGAGCAACCAGCAGCUGAGAACAAGAACAGCAUGUAGCACUACCACGAACAACACAUUGGGCGAAAAGAAAUUCACACCGUCAUAGACUAAUAUUUUUUUAGAUGAUGAGCUCGUAAGUUAGUUAACUAGCUAGCAGCUGGCAUUUCUGAGUUCUGACGACAGGCUGCCCGCGCCCAGCCGGGGAGCUUGUCGAGGCGCACGUUUUUGGUGGCGACGGCGAGCGCGGCCACGACGCCGACCCAGACGGCGAGGUCCACGGCCAGCGAGGUGCGCUGCUACGACGCCAGGAACGUGAGCACGAGGCUAGCGUAGGCCACCAGAACGCGCCCCGCACGAGGCGCGACUUGGGGGGCACCCCCGUGAGCAGCCCCACGGUGAGGAGCGUGGAGGCGCCGAACGCCACCCAGCUCCCCGCCAUGAACAGCCAGUACCGCCGUCCGUACUUGUCCCGCAUGAUCGGGUCGCCGGCGGCGUGCCCCGCGGCGUCGUCCUGCCAGUACCCGCCCGGGAUGUUGGUCCCCAGCUGGUAGGACAGCCCCGAGAUCAGCGUCGGCACCACCAGCAGCGUGUCCCUGGUGUUCGUCGCGAAGUCCGGCGCAUGCCCGCCGCCGCCGGCGGCGUUCUGCAGGCGAUGGUCGCCGCCCUGCUGCCGCUGCUGGUCUAGCUCUGACCCCGGCAUUUGGACGUGGACACCAUUGCCGGCGGCGUACAUCUCUCUUGCUCGCAGCCCUCCGCGUGCCCAAAGUGCAAGAUUUCUCUAAGUACUCCUAGCUAGUCGAUCCAGAGGCCUCUCGGCGAUGUUCUUGCGAGCAUCUUAAACCUUGCGGGCACAUUUAUAUAGGCGGACAUGGGUGAUUGUUCCCCUUCGUUUCUGCCCAUGUAUAGUAAAGUAAUUUCUUCGAAGGACGCAGUAAGCGCCACUUGACACUGGACUUGAGAGGUCAAGUGGUUGUCUGACAGCCCUGGUACUCUCUCUGAGCAGCGAACACCGAAGACCCUGGCAAGUCCAUGUCUACUCAUUCAUACCCUCUCGCCGCUUCCGUUUAUCUGUGGCUAGCUUCUCUGUUCUCGCUCUCCUUGUUGGUCCUCGUGAAGCACAUGCCAUUCAGUAAACAGAGAUUGUGAAGUAACAAUGCUGUCAAGUGAAACCUAAGAAUUUCGCAAAAAAGAAGUGAAGCCUAAGAAAAUGAGAGGAAUCUGUCACUGUGAGUUACUAGAUGCUAUGGAAGUUCAUUUCCACUUUCCCAGUGUCGGCAAAGCUGCAGAAAUUUACACAUUUACGGGCGGUGCCUUGCUUGGCUGCUUGUAUCAUUCAUUCAUUAGGUACAUAUAGGUCUAGAAUUACUACGUUAACAAGAAUCUACGGGAUUUGACCGCCCAGGUUGGGCUGCUACGGGAGCAUUAUUUUUUUUUUGAGUCUUAUGCCAAUUUCCGCAUUUGGGCACGCCAGCACUUGAGGCUCAUCCAAAGUCGAAACGCUGGGGCUGGUGUCAGUCAACGGUCUAUAUUUAUUUGGCUUGGGAAUAAAAUGCACAGGUGUCUCUCGAACUUGGCUUGUAGCAUAGAUCUAGAUUUUUAAACUUGUUAAACAUAUCAAAUGAGAUCUAAAUCACCAUAUUUUAAGUUAAAGUGAAAGUGUUUCUACCGACGGGGAGCUUACACAUGGAUCCAAAUUUUAUUAUUGAUUUUUUUGCUAAACUCUUAUAUUUUCUAAAUUUACUUCAAAAUUUUGUUUCAAAACUUUAUGCCUGAAAUUUUUUUCAAUGUUUCCUCCAAAAUUUAUCCUUUUUUAUUUUAUCUUUUUUACCUAUUUUGUGAUAUGGGUUUCGUUUUCGUAUAAUCUUUAUAUACAGAUUUUUUGUAUUUGAGUAUAUUUAUUCAAGCAAGUUUGUUAUGAUAUUUUUGCAUUUAUACAUUUUGUAUAUAAUUUUAUAUUUGAAUAAAUUAUAUAAUUUUAGAUUUAUUUUAAGCAAUUGUGAUUUGAACCUCACAUGAUACGAUUAGUAAGUUUAAAGAUCUAAAUAUGUAUUUUAAAAAUUUGAAGACGUAGAUAACAUCCUCGAAUACUCGAGUUCAAGUAGGGUGAGCACGACCGUGACAACGACCCAGAUGACGAGGACCAUUGCCAGCGACGUGCGUGGCUGUGACGUCACGAACGUGAGCACGAGGCUGGAGUACGCCCACCGCCUACCACGAACGAGCUCAGCACGAGCCGCCGCGGCGUGGGCGCGCCCGUGAGCGGCCCCGGGUGAGCAGCAUCGAGCUGCCGCCAUGAACAGCCAGUACCGCCGCCGGUGCUCAUCCCGCAUGAGCGGGUCGUCGGCGACGUGCCCAUUGUCCUCGUUCUUGGUUGCUUGAUGGUUUCCCUGAAGACCUGAAGUGUGUGCCAUUCAGCAAUGCACACGACCUGUUUGAUAAUAAUACUGUCAACUGGAGACUUCAAGUGGAACCUAAGAAAUUGAAAAUGAAUCUGUGAGACUGACGUAGAUUCUAUGGAAGUUCUUGUUCAGUGCCUGAAAAACCUGAAGAUCUUCACGCGUCGUCAUGGUUGCUGCCUGGUCAGCCGCCGGUCCGCCCUCCUAUCCCUGCCGCGUGCGCUAGACGACGCGCGCGCACGGCCCGAGCGCCCGAGCCCGACGACCGCACGCCGCGUCCUCGUACCGUCGUGUCGUCCUUGGCGUGGGCCCUGCCGCCCGACCGGGACCCUCGGCAAAGCUUUCGGCGUGUUGCUGCUUGGUCGCCCGCGAUAGCUGCCAAUGGCGGCACGCCGCGGCCCGGCCGCCGGGCCGGAUUGCUUCGCACGCUCCAAGAUGUGUUUUGCUCCGAGCUGCUGGCCGAGGAUUCAUCCGAAAUGCUCAAUGGCGGAUUGUGAGGUUGCAAAGUUGCAACUGGUUUCCACUCCCCACUCCGGAUAGGUUGUUCUCGUCGUUUUACACUAUGGCUUUGGCAAACAAACACAACAUACCGGGACAACAAAAAGAAUGCUGGAGUGGGAAAAAAAAGACACUACUAUACAUUUCGCCCCAAGAAGAAACAAACACCCUGUACUUAUUGAUUGAGCAACCAGCAGCGGAGAACGAGAACAAGAACAAGGACAACAACUACCACCACACCCUUUUUAACAGAACAUUAGGCAAAAAAGAAAAAAAAAUCACACUGUUACUAGUACAAGCUCACGGUGCUACGGUGGGAUUAACGACCCAGCAGCUGACGAAAAGCUGCCUGCGCCCACCUGGGGAGCCUGUCGAGGCGCAGGUACGAGGUGACGACGGCGAGCGCGGCCAUGACGCCGACCCAGAUGGCGAUGUCCAUGGCGAGCGAGGUGCGCGGCUGCGACGUCACGAACGUGAGCACGAGGCUGGAGUAGGCCACCAGGAACGCGCCCCGGACGAACUGGGACCUGGCGGGCACCCCCGUGAGGAGCCCCACCGUGAGCAGCAUCGAGCUGCCGAACCCGGCCCAGCUCGCCGCCAUGAACAGCCAGUACCGCCGCCGGUGCUUGUCCCGCAUGAUCGGGUCGCCGGCGGCGUGCCCCGCGCCGUCGUCCUGCCAGUACCCGCCCGGGAUGUUGGUCCCCAGCUGGUAGGACAGCGCCGUGAUCAGCGUCGCCACCACCAGCAGCGUCCCCGCGUCGUUCGCGUCGAAGUUGGGUGCGUGCGGGCCGCCGCCGCCGCCGCCAGCAUUCUGCGGGGGGUUGUCGCCGCCCGGCUGCUGGCCCAACUCCACCAUCAGGACGUGGUCGCCGUUGCCGGCGCCGUCGUCCAUCCAUCUCGCUCGGAGCUCCGCGCGUGACCAAAUUAAAGCGCAAGAUUUCUAGGUACCCGCGCGUGACCAAAUUAAAGCGCAAGAUUUCUAGGUACUCUUCCUGCGCGCUUCUUGAACCUUGCGCGCACAAUUAUAUAGGACUAUGUGAGGAGCUUGGUGACUCCCUUGUUGCUUCCCAUGGAAGGUAGUACUAGUAGUGAAGUAAUUUCCUACAAGGACGCGGGAAGCGCUAACUGAACUGCGAGUGCGAGUGGUUGACGGACCUGGUCCUCUGCUUCGGCAAGACCUAGGCGAGUCCUCGUCAAGUCUUUUCUCCACCGCUGUCUUGAGACCUCUGUUUAUCCACGGGCCAUGGAUAUACCCUCUUUGUUCUUGCUUGCUUUGUUCAGCAAUACGGUUUCCGUGUUGUGACAUAACAAUACUGUCAAGUGGAACCUAGGGCCUGUUUAGUUACCAGCGCAAAAACGCAAAAAAGCUGUAAACGUAGGAAUCUUACUAAUUUGAAGUACUAAAUGAAGUCUAUUUACAAAACUUUUUGCACGGAUGGGCUGUAAAUCGCGAGACGAAUCUAAUGAGCCUACUUAAUCCAUAUUUUGCAACAGUGAUGCUACAGUAACCAUCCGCUAAUUAUUGCUUAAUCAUGGAUUAAUUAGCAUCAUUAGAUUCGUCUCGCGAUUUACAACCCAUCUGUGCAAAAAGUUUUGUAAAUAGACUUCAUUUAGUACUUCAAAUUGACAAGAUUCUUUUGCAAAAAAUUUUUUUGCGUUUAUGCGUCCUGAUCUAAACAGGCCCCUAAGAAAUCGGAAAAGGAAUGCGUGCCUAUGGAAGUUCUUGCCCGCAAAGCUGAAUCUUACGCGUUUUCGGCUAUGUUUGGUACAGAUUGUGAACCAGCUUCUCAUCAAUUUUAAGUUGUGGGCUGCCCAAACGCUAGGCUUCUGCACCGCUUCCCCCGGCAACGCUUACCCACCUCCUUCACAAAACGCGCGUCGGUGAGCAGCGGGAACGGUCCAGCUUCUGCGGCUUCCGCCCCACGCGCCGGCCUCCGCCCUCGCGCCUCCGCCUCCGCCCCCCGCCCCCGGCCUCCGCCGCCUCCGCCCUCUGCCCCCGGCGCCUCCGCCCCGCCCCCGGCCGCCGCCUCCGCCCCCCGCCCCCGGCGCCUCCGCCUCCGCCCCCGACGCCGCGCCUCCGGCGCCGGCCCCCGCCCCCCGCGCCGGCCUCCGCCCCCCGCCCCCCGCGCCGGCCUCCGCCCCCCGCCCUCGGCGCCGGCCCCCCGCGCCCUGCGCCGGCCUCUGCCUCUUAAUUGUAUGAUUAAUUGUAUCAUUAUCUUAUUUAAGAGUAAUUUACGAUUAAUUUUAUAAUAUAUUAAUUGUUAAUAAUUUAUGAACAAGUUUCAGCUGUGCCAAACAGGGCCUGUGACCAGCUGCUUCUCUGGCCAGCUAGCCACCAGCUGGCUUCUAAAUAAGUUUCUGUUGUGCCAAACAGGGCCUUCGUGCCGCUGCCCGGUGCCCUGGUUGUAUCAUCCAGUCGUUUUUGGAUGAUUACUGUAUGGGUCAUUUUCGCGGAAUAAAACUUGAGUUGAAUAUUAGUUAUACAAAACUGUUCUUCAGAAAGAGCAAUAUAGUCAGAUAAGUUUGUAGUAUAACUUUGUCUCGCGAGUUAGUUCAAUUUGAACGGCAUUCCUUCAUUACAAGCCCUUCUUUUCUAGAAUACGUAAGAGAGGUCUUUCAUUUAAGAAAGAAAACUUCAAAAGGUACGGUGAACUAAAAAACAGAACAGUCAGCACCACACCAUAAUCGCGCUUGCUGUUGGUUAGACCAAAGGAACUUAGUUGGAUUUAAUCCCCACUUUGUCAGGGUUCAUAUUGUCCUACUGAUUAAAACAAUUCAAUGUGGCCUAGUGCCCAAGCAGAAGGAUGAAAAAUACAGUAAUAGGUUAAUAAGUUUGGGUCAGUCUCAAUGUUUUUGAAGAAUGACCAUUUCCUAAAGAUUACUGAACAUGUCCAUGGCUUAUUGUAUAUGAAUCGUGCAAAAAGAGGUAAGUUAAAGUUAUGUUACUAGCAAAACUUCAACUGCAUAUAACUUUUCUAUGGUAAAUAUGAUGGUAGUGUAAUUGUACCAAAUACAGAGGAAAUGAAUAUUAUUGGAAUUUCGUGACAUCACACAUGUGGUCAUCUUUCACGGAAAUUUGUGGCCGGUUAACAUGUUUAAAUGGAUUUGUAUGCCAGAUACCAAAUCGUCAACUCAAACAUCACCAGUUACCUAAUGACAGCUUCUCACUUUCAAUUUCUCCACUAUGCCGCCAGUUUCCUUUAAGCUUUGACUGCAAUUCAGCACGCAUCGUCAUUCCGUUUGUGGGCUGGUUUACUUUGUUGAGGCCCACGGCCCAUGCCUCUCCUAAACCUCUCUUCUACCCCGGGGCUUCGUCGGCGCGCCUCCUCUCAACCAGUCGAUCCCCAUUCCCCCACCGCCGCCGCCCUCCGAGAAAGGGAGGAGUCGAUGAAGUGCAGGGACCAUCAUAGUCGGCAGAUGCCCCUUUUGUGCAUAUGAAGCGUACUCGUGGUGCAUAUGUUGUACGGAAACAAAAAAGUGGUGGUGUUUCAAGGUUCCUGAAGUUGUAGGAGCCUCGGAAGACUUUGUCAUGCUGAGGGCUUUGUUGGAGCUGCGGUGGCUGGCUUUGGCACAAAUUCAACAGUGCCCCGUUCUGUAGGGUCUUGUCUGGGAGGGCUUGAGCUCAGGCCUGACGUCGAUGGAAACUCAAGUUCUGGUCCCAAACAGGUGGUGGUGCUGGUGCAACGGCCAAGCCAAGCUUGUUUCUUGUCACUCGAGGUUAAGCUACUACCGUAGUACGCGAGACAUAUUGACGGCGUGCCCUCUCACGAGUCACGCGAAUAGGAACCACUGUCUUUUCCACCGUUCUGGGAGACUGAAACUUCCUCCAUGUGUAUGCUUGUUAAGCUGUAACAUGGCUCGCACAAAGCUGUAGCCUGUAUGCUACAGAACUUUCUCACCACCAUGGCAGCUGCUAGCUUCGUGUCAUGAGAUAGCAAUGCUGCGACGAGACAAGGAGCACCACGGGCAGCGGUUGCACGAUGCUCGCGCGCCGCGAGGCCGGGCAUCCGCAGUCUGUCACGCAACGUGCAACGGUGUUCUAGCGGAAGUUGUGGGAGAACGGAGCGCCUGGGCGAGGUGCCGGCGAACAGGCAAAGGCGCAGAGGCACGGUCACGUUUCGGGCACGCCGCACGCGGCGGGGUUGUGGCCUGUGUGGGUCGGGGUUGGUCCCGGCUCGCGGGACAACGCAUGGUCGGCGAGCGGCGCGGCGACAGGGACGGCCGAGCCGGGCUGUUCCCAGCGCGGGAGGUAGGCUCCCGGCUCCGCUGCCGCUUUUCCCGGACUCGGGCUCCCGGAGGCCGGAGCUCCCUCACCGACCGCACCAAACACACAGCUACUGCCAUCCGCCAACCUGUACGCCCCCGCGCCCACGUCUCGUCGGCGGCGUCCGGUAGAUCUGCGGGCAGGAUGUACACGGACCCGUGCGCACGUGCCACGCACGACCAAUUCACACAGUCACAGGCUCACAGCGGAUGAAACCAGGACCGAGGACUGGGUGGAUCCGGGUCAGCGUUGCGGCCUCGGUAGCAGCGAUUUCUCGCAGAAUCAUAAACCGGCACGGUCAGUGCCAGUCUCGACGCUCCGAAAGGACACAAGCCGGGCGGAUCUGAAGGGGGCUAUGGGGAUAAGUCCUUCUAUCUUCCCGAGAUCGAUGAAUAUCCUCCUGACCUCCUUCUCUAUUUUAGAACAAAGAAUGAAGAAGAAGAAAGGAGGAAGAAGAAGAGAAGGGAAGGUAGAAAGAGAGAAGGACCCUCUCUUCUCCCUUAGCUGCUGUCGCAGAAGAGAAUCGCAAACCCUGCUGUGCAUGGAAGGCUCUUUGCUUUUCACAAAUCUGGAAGACUGGAACACGUACACAGUGUGAUAGCACUUGUAUUGUUAGAAAAAAAAAGAAGAGAAAAGGUGAUGAAAUUUUUAUGUUGAAAGAAAUUUAAAAAAGAGUAUAACAUUUGUUUGCACAGUUCUGAAAUAUUCGGUCAAAAGAUGCUGCGAGCCUGCAGCCCGCAGAGGGCGAAUUUUGGAGGACGAAAUGGCCCGUCCGCGAGCGAAAAGCUGAGCUCUGAAGAAAAGAGAGCCCUGCGCGUGAUUGGCACGGCGAAUGCUGCCUCUGCAUCGUGCCCGUGCCCGUGCCCUUUUCUUUCCUGCGACUUGCUGUCCGGCGACCCUUUUCAUUUCAAACGGUGGGAAAGGUGAAAGUAAAAAACAUGGGCGAAACAAUUUGAAUUCGCAUGUUCCCACGGCGUGAAAAAUGCAAUAAGUCUGUAUAGUAUUAUACUUGAUGUUUUCACCUUUUUUUCCCUCCAGUGAACCUGGCACAGAUUUCUUCAGUUUCUCGUUCCAUGGUACUGAAAUGUGUUCGGCGAAAAUGGAUUUGUGAAAUUCAGAUAGUAACAGGGUCUGUCUGACGGCACCUGCAAAUUCAGAGAGCUCAUGCAUGUCAGCAGUAGUACCGGCACAAAUUUGUAGGUAUGCAGGCCAGGGACUCAGACUUCAAAGUGGAUCUUUCCAUCUCAAAUAAAAAAAAGGGAAAAAAAAGGAACGAUUGGAUCUUUGUAUGAACAUGUCCCAUGUGUCCUACGACACUUGUAUGAUCCAAACGAUAGUUUAAUCGAACCACGCUUCCGGGAUUUUCAUUUGCACAUGCGUUCGGGGUACCGGACAGGGCUUGGAAAGGUGUUGCCAGUCUGAUUUACUUCAUCGGUGAAUUGGUUUGCAGUUGCAUUGCUUGUGCCAGGCAAGUGCCGCUCAUAAACAUAGGAAAAUGGGAGUGCAUCCUCCACAUUUCAGUAUUUCACCACUGGCUGGAGGUGAUAAACUGCUGAUUUCCUACUGAAGCGUUGAUCUAUCAAGCGGUGAAAUGGAUAUAGUAUUAUUCAUGAAUCCCCAUCCCCCAGGAGGCAAAAAAAUAACAUAAUGAAUUCUGCAACUUUGGGUCUUCUGUGGGGCAUGUCGGGUAACAUCUGUGGGACUACUUUUUUUUUGGAAUAAUAAUGUCUAGGUUCCUUAUAUACUUUAUUAUAGAAAUUUCAAUGCAGGUAUGUACCGUGAAAAACACGUGAUUCUGUUUUAUUAUUUUACAUAACACCGUAUUUUGCAUUUCAAAUCAAACAUGGCAUAAUCCACUUUCUAUAAUGCAAAAACGCGCGAAAACUUUUGGUAGAUUAUGUGCACUAUUAAAAUCAACACUGAAUAAAAGAAGUGGACCGCAAGAAUCACAUGAUGAUUAUAUGGAAAUUAUGUUUUGAGCAACUUAAUCAUGUAACAAGUUUACUCUUAGGUUUUUGAUAAAGCCUACUCGGAUGUCCAAAUUCCAUCGAGUUGUAAUUGCAUGUAUGGUACUUCUUUUUAUUCUUCCUUCAUCCCUCCAUAAGUUAGAUCCAGAAUGUUUCUAUUACUUUGAUUUUUGGCUACAAUGAAGAUCUCCAUUGGUUAUAAUUCAGUUGCUUCAACUCUUUUUUAGCUUUGCCCUAAUUUCCUAUAGAUAAUGUGUUUUCUUUUCUAUAUUUGGCACUACUCUGUUUGUAGCAAACACUUCUACCUACAUGCCAGUUUUAAACCAAUUAUCAAAAUUCACGGUGUUGUAUGCUCACCACCUUCUAUAGUAUUUUGUGGUACUAACCUGUCAUCCAGGGAGAACCUAUCUGGCAGUGACAAAAGGCAAAAGAAUAAAUAAUUGAAUAAGUUAAUGUAUGAUCACAUAAAUGGCCCAUUGACAACUUUCUCAAAUCAAUGACACUCUCUCUUCUCAUUUUCUCUCUUUUAGCUCAUAAUAAAUCUAAUGUGGAGAUAGCUGACUUGUUAUUGUUGGAGGAGAUCUAAAUGUGUCCAUGGAAUUUGUACUGAGAAAGACACCUUGAGUUUUUUAAAAUAGCGCCCACUACCUCCAAAGCUCAAUUUAAGAGUCCAACCAACCCACAGGGUGGCCACAGGGGUGUGACCGCAGAAACGCUGGCCUCCUGGCCUGGCCUGUCAUCCGCCGCUCCUCUGGAACCUGCACACUGCACACCUCCCAACUCGUCAGUCCUCACAGUCAUCACGCUCCCGCUACCACGCCUCCGACGAUCAAAAGCUCCGGUUUUGAUUCCUCCUCUGGUCCUCACCCACCUUUCUCACCUCCUUUCCCUGUUAAUUUUAUCCUCCGUGUCCCCUCCUCUCCAGGAAACUUAAUCGGAUCUCUCUGAGCUCUUGGUCAAUCGCUCGCAUUUCUUUACUAAUCGCCACUUCUCGGAGAGAUUAGUUUUUAAUGGCGCUUAUUAUGAAGUGUUUUGAAUUAAACCUCCGAGAAACAGAGGGAAGCUAGAGAGCCUCUAGAGGCCAGAGCCAAGAAGAACACGCUCAGGUACGCCGGACGCGAGCUCCGAUACCUCCUCGGAUUCCCUACGUGCUGCCGCGGGAGAGGGGAGAGAGCUUCCCGUUUCAUCAUCAUCUAUCACAUCGCAGGAGUGCUGCAGCACUCAAGUCUCCACUCUCCACUCCCCCAGUUCGUGCUCACUUCUAUUGUCGGGGGCGGCGGCGGCCGCCGCCGCGGUUCGUGCUGCUCCGCGGCGGCUUCUUGGUCCUAUCUCCGUCUGUAGCGGGUUCCUCCGUGCGCGUGUCUGGAAAGGAAGGAAGAAAGGGCUCUUCUUUGAGGACAAAAUCAGGUGGUGAUCUUCUCUUCCCUUGCUGAUUUUGUUCCCCUUUUUUCCUGUACUGUUGUUGAGAUUACGAUGUCGCCAUCUGUUGCGUUCUUUUGGAGCCUUGCGGCCUUUCCUGCUCGUGACUUUCUACCAACUGAGGUUCCUCUACAAAGGGGUGGCAUUUUAGCCGACAAACGGCGGAUGAAGUGUUCUUGAAGCCUUGUUCACAUGGUGCCUGAAGGAACUUCUAGGUGUUCAUUGAUCUCUGCCCUUGUUCUCUGAUGUUUCUAGUUUGAAGGGGCAUUCACAGUUCUCUGUUGUUCUGCCCAUGGUGGUUUAGUUCGUGAGAUUUUUUAGUGUAGGUUUGAAUUGUUCAUGAAUGUGUGGCGAUAGAAAUUGGGGAUCUUUUGCCCAUUUAUUAGCAGCAAAAGGUUUUGCCCAUAAUUCGGGGUGACAUUUUAAGUCGUGGAUUCAUUAGUUUAAAGACGUUAGCUCCACUGGACAAGUUUAUGGGACUGCCUGAAUAUCCUGUAAUGUAGUACCUUAAUGUUUUCUAGGCAUAUAUGCAAUUCUCUAGUUAAGAGUUGCUACAUACAGUAGUUUGUGUUCUUGUUAAAUGAACAAAAUAUUCACCUUUUUUUGUUGCUAUUUCAGCUUUGCUUGAGAGCUUCCGGAGUGUACCUUCUUCUCAGCUAAUCAGAUCCUUGGGUGCAACAAUAUGUCGCCCAAGCGACCACAGGGCGUGGUUAUGUUGUUAAUGCUCAUGGUUUUCGAUGUUUCAGGUACUCCGGUUCAUCAUAUUAGUUUGCAGUACCUAGAUAUGGUUUUAAACUACCAUAUCUUCAAACCAUAGAUAUGUUUCUAGGAUGAGUAGUGCAAAAAUUAUACUUCUGACUAUAGAACUAUGGUGGUGCAAAAAUCAUACUAUGUUCUACAUAGAUGUGCAAAAACAUUAUUUUCCGUAUUGUAGUACCUCAUUCUGAUUUUCCUGACUGUGUGGGAAACUAGUUUCACAAGGACAUUACAAAAUGUUGUUUUGAACUGAAAAAUAGGUUCUAAGAAUAUAUUGCCUAUAUUUGCAUGCAUGACAAUCAUCUCUGCAAUUUGUUGUAGGCGCAUUUGUUGGUAUCACUAUUGGCAAUGAUAUGUCAAACCUACCAUCAGCAACAGACAUAGUGGCUAUCCUUAAAGAAAAGAAGAUUCAACAUGUUCGUCUGAUUGAUUCAAACCAUCAGAUGUUGACUGCCCUUGCAAAUACUGGAAUAGAAGUGAUGGUUGGGGUUCCCAAUGAUCAGCUACUUCGUGUGGGGCAGUCUCGUUCCACAGCUGCUGAUUGGAUUAACAAGAACGUCGCUGCUUAUGUUCCAGCAACUAACAUCACAUAUAUCGCAGUGGGUGAUGAGGUUCUUACUAACAUUCCAAAUGCAGCCCUUGUUCUUGUACCUGCAUUGCAAUUCCUCCAAUCAGCACUGUUGGCUGCAAACCUCAAUAAUCAGGUGAAAAUCUCGAGUCCACAGUCAAUGGAUAUGAUCUCAAAGGCAUUUCCUCCCUCCACUGCCACUUUCAAUUCGACAUGGAACACAAUAAUGUCUCAGUAUCUUCAGUUUCUGAAGGAUACAGGAUCUUCAUUCAUGCUGAAUGCCCAACCAUACUAUGGCUACGUCGGAGGGCAAGGCGUAUUCCCCUUAGAGUAUGCACUGUUCCGCUCACUCAGUCCCAACAGUCAAAUUUCAGAUCCCAACACCAAUCUGUUCUAUACCAAUAUGUUUGAUGCAAUAAUUGAUGCUACUUACAACUCAAUCCAAGCAAUGAAUUUCACGGGGAUUCCUGUUCUGGUCACAGCUUCUGGCUGGCCAUGGCGUGGUGGGCCAAACGAGAAGGCUGCUACUGUUGAUAAUGCUUUGGCCUACAAUACAAACCUCGUACGUCAUGUACUGAAUAAUUCUGGUACACCCAGCCAACCAAUGAAUCAGUCCAGCACCUACAUCUUUGAGCUAUUCAACGAGGAUCGUCGGUCAGGACCUGUAUCAGAGAAAAGUUGGGGGAUUAUGUUUCCUAAUGCAACCACUGUGUACUCUCUAUCGUUUGAGGACGUGGCCACAACUAUCCCAGAAUCACCAGCUCUGCGUGGGAUGUUUUGUGUGGCAAAUUCAAGUGCACCCCAUAGUGCACUUAAGCAUAGUUUGGAUUGGGCAUGUGGCCCUGGCUCUGCAAACUGCAGUGCGAUUCAGCCUGGGCAACCAUGCUAUGAAUCAGAUAAUAUAGUAGCUAUUGCAUCAUAUGCUUUCAACGAUUAUUAUCAUAGAACACAAGCUAGUGGUGGUACAUGCAGCUUCAAUGGCACUGCAAUGAUAACAUCUACUGAUCCAAGUAAGCUGCAUUUUGCUCUUCUAUAAUUAAUAGGAUACAGUAGAUUUUUUUUGCACAAUUAUCGAUUACUUUGAAUGGGUUUCUUUAAUUACUUUUGUAGUUUUGUUGGCAAAUAAUUUAUAGUUGCCCUUUACAUCAGCGCUAAACCGACGUUUGAGAAGACCAAAUUUAGCACUGAAAUGUUUGAAGGGCUCAAGGUCCUUGUUAUGCAAAAUUUAACCCACCAAUUAUCUACCACAGCUGUUUUGAUCUGUGAUUUUUAUUGCACAAAAGCCCUAAUGUACUUCUGUUUUACUAUCAUUAGUCAAGAGUUCUACACUUGUAGCUAGCCAGCACUCAAUCUCUUGUUGAUCUGUUAUUGUGUUCCCACCAGCAAUGAGACAGUCCUAUAAAUGUACCCUACCCUGGAAAGCAAGCCCUACUUGUGCAAAUUUCUGUAGGGAACAUGUAAAUAAGCUGGCAAGCAUUUACCUUAGAUGUGUGUCCCAUUAGGCUAAGAGCCUAAGAUAAACCAUAUGAAGGGAUGUGGGGGUUAGUCAAACGAGGGUCAUAGCUCGAGCUGUUACAUCCUAUCAAAAGCAUAAGCAUUGUCCAAAUCACAAUACAAGAUAAAUAAUCUAUGGCCACAACAAGUUUCAUUAUCAUCUUGUGUUUUAUUUUAAUUUCAAGAAAUGUGUUUCUAGUUUAAAGAACUCACUUUUUUAUCAUUUUAAUUUAAUUUCAAGAAACCAAGGGUAGGAUUUUGUUGCUAAUAUCAAACCGUCGUAUAGCAUGUAAAUAACAUGAGCCUAAUCUGAAUUCGUGUAUUUCUUGCAGGCCAUGGCUCAUGCAUUUUCGCUGGAAGGUAUGUCCAAUGCACCAUUUCGUGUUAAAAGCUUCUAAGUUCUAUAAGCCUGUUUUGUGCUCUAUACUGAGAAUGUGACUUGCUCCUGUUUGUAGCACUGGCGCCAACGGCAGCGAUGGUGGUACAGCCUCCGGGCCUGUGAGCCCUGACAGUUUUGCUUCGAAAUCCCAAUCCUGCUGGUUGACUCACCUAGUAGCUGCAGUGCUGCUCAUUGUAGUGAUGUAAAACAUUGCAACCAUGUCGCAUUUUGGAUGAGAUACCCGUCAUUUAUCGUGGAUCUUGUCAUUAGAUACUGUAGGGGCGUAUUUGUUUUAGUGUACUCAUGUAGACGCCAUGUAAUCUUAUCCCCAAAUUUGUUGUCCUAGGAAUCAACAUUGCUAGCUGUGACAAGCAGCUUAUCUGGAAUGAUGGAAGUUCCAAUUUCCAAAUGAUCUGUACCCCCUGCAUAUGGUUUAAGUGGUCUGCUGCUGUUGUCUUUUUUUUUUCCUUUUCAAUUUUAGUGUUUUCGAACACUCGGCCUCACCGGAAAUGGCUUUGUUGUGGUUUGGACUUGAGGAAAAAAAUUGAUUCGUCGCGAGUGACUAACGGCCCAGUCAGGCCCAUAUUAACCCACCACCAGGUCCAUUCUCAGUUACCGUAAUGGGCCUGCUCAAUGGGAUUUAAAGCCUCACCAGGAUGGCGAGCCGGCCCACACGCUUUCACCCUCUGUCACUGCCGGCUGUCGCUGCGGCCAAUCGGCCAUGUCCUCGUCCUCGUCCUUCCCCGCCUCUCGCUUCCCCUUCGCCGCCGGCGGCGGGGCCCCCGGCGGCGGCGGCGGAGGAGGAGGUGGGAGCAGCUUGCGGCCGUGGGGGUCGAGCGGCGGGACGUCGGUUUCGUCUUCGGGGAAGCGGAUACAGAAGGAGCUGCUGGACCUCAACGCCUCCGACUGCUCCGCCGGGCCCAAGGGCGACAACCUCUACCACUGGCUCUCCACCAUCAUCGGGCCCCAAGGUAUGAGCUCCCUCCCCUCCGCUUCUCCAAUUGGUCGGAGACAGUUGAGAGCUCGUCGAAAUUUAACUGCGCUGGCGGAUGACAGUUUUACUUGUUCAAAUUGCUGCUUCUAUUUUUAGUGUAGGAGCAGAGUUUGGUUUGUACACUAACUGGGCUCACGAGUACGUCGCGGUUGAGUUAACGCAUCAUGUUAUGUCUUCAGGAUCGCCGUAUGAAGGAGGGAUAUUUUUCCUUGAUAUCGUGUUUCCCCCUGAUUAUCCUUUCAAACCUCCAAUGGUAAGGAUUCACAUUUCUUGUUAGCAUGUUCUUCUGGUUAACAUUGGUCUGCUGAAGUGUGGUGGGAAUCUUUGUUUAGUACAGAAACUUUUUGUGUCCUCAAAACUAGGCUCCAACCUGACAUUUCUCCACUUCUUGUUAUGUAUACCUUCCACCUAAUCCCUUGAUUCCUGGUUCGUGUACUCUUUUUGAAUGUACAAGUUUCAAGGAAUGUAUAUCACACCUGGUUGUGGUGACUAUUACUGCCGAAGUACUAGAAAGUAUUUUUAACAGAAAAUCAAGUGGGCAGUCAGAUCAGUUUGGCUGGUAAUAUUGUUCCAGUUCUAAUUCUGAUUGUUUUGCUCUUGGGAUCCUUAAUUUACUCAUCCAUGCAAACAGAGGGUUAUCAGAGCGAUGAACUUUAGUAUGCUUUAUAAAAUGCAUAGUGUCAGCUGUCCUGAAGCCUCAUAUCCCCAAAUUUUCUACAGCCUGGCUAUCACAAUACGGGCAAAUGUGAUUUUGAAACAGUAAUUUACGAAGAUUUUCUUUGGCCUAGAGAAAGAAAAGUACAUUCAGCUAUCUGUCUUGGAUGAAGGUUAAUCUAGAAGUGCCACACGACCACACCACUGGCAGGGAGGCAUGUGUUUGAUGACGAAGAGUGGAACUAAUAUGAAAACGAUUAUGCUAAAGACAGUUUUCUUUGCUGCUAAUUAAAGUUACCUUGUUUCUUCUAAAGAGGUUUUUGUACCUUUUCAUGUGAAGUACUGAUUUGUGAUGUUUUAUGUCUUCUUAGUAUGAUUUCGACAUAUGAAGAAAAACUAUCCUAAGUUUCUAGUUUACUGUUGUUGUUUUUUUAAAGAAAGAAAGAAUGCAGAGCUGCUAAGGUAUUGUUUUUGUUCUGGCUUGCUUCAAUUAAUACUUUUAAUACUUCCCUGAGCAAAAGAUACGGUAAAAUUAUUUUUAUUCAGGGACAGCCUUACUAUGGUAACAUGUACUUUUGACAUCACCUCUUAUCAUGUGGUGGCAUAUUGUUUAUCUUGGCUUAGAAUAUAAGAAAGUCUGGCAAUCUGCUAACUGAGGGAAGUGAGUCCACUCAUUCCUGUUAUUGAUAUUUAUUUGUCACUAUCCGGCUGCUAGCCAUAGCCAAAAUUACCACCGACACAUUUCUGGAGGAUGCCAACACCACCACCAUCUAUUUCCUAUUAUUACUUGCUGAGAUAUGAGGGACCAGAAACAGCCAGCCUCCGUUUUAGCUUUCCACCUACCACUCAAAACCUUCAGCGGCACAGUUUUACCCUGAUCAGCUAAUGAAACUAUCCGUGCAGCUAAUACAGGCCACGGCAACAAUCACACUAAAGCUGUUAAAGAUAUUAUAGUAUUAAAAAUAUUUUUGAAUGUUGCCCAUCCUAGCUUGCUUUGGACUAAAAGGUUUUGUUGUUUUUUUCUUGUGUUCUUGAAAUAUCGUUUCAAUGUUCUAUGAUGUGAUUAUCAGAUCUAUACUUAUGUAUGGUAUAUGUCUGUAGCGUUACAGUUACAGGCAAUGUUAAUCAUGACUUUAUAUGUCACAUGUUAAUAGUUGAAAGUUUUCACAAAUUAUUUUACUCUUCAAGCUGAAUCUAUUAAAAUUGAGUAGUUUGGAAUUGGACAAUUUAGCUUCAUAACUCCAAAUUUGUGUUAUGCUGGUAUUCUCCCAGGUAACUUUCAAAACAAGGAUUUACCACUGCAACGUUGAUGCCACUGGUAAAGUGCAUUUGGACAUUCUGAAGGAUGGCUGGAGUCCAGCUUUUACUAUUUCAAAGGUGUUGCUGGCCAUCAAAGACAUCAUCAGCAAUCCAGAUCCAUGUAUGUUCUUAUCACUUUCUGUACUACCUUAUGUAAACAGUCGUGGAUUCUGGUGCAAAUUAAGUCUACUGUCUAUAUAGUUUUACUUUGCUUUACUGCUCAAAAGCCUUAUGUUAUGAUCUUUAUUUGUGCAGACACCCCGCUUGUGAUGAACAUUUCACGUCAGUAUCUAACUGACAGAACUAAACACGAUGAAAUAGCAGCUGAGUGGACAAUGAGGUUUGCAAGAUAGAGAAUUCUGUCUGUAUCUAAGCAAUAUUGACCUUGUAAAAGAAUAAUCCUUAAUGUGGCCUGAGAUGUAGAAUGUUGGCAAAGGACCCACGUUUUGUUUAAUCUGAGUUGUGACAUAAAGAUGUACUUUAUGCUUGAGGUUAUCUAGUUGCUUCUUUUAGGUGCAGAAUUGUCUUUUUUGAUUUUGCAUUUCUGCCAAAGUUGCACAAGUAACUCUUCAGAACCUGCUAUCUGAGCUAAUUAGUUUCUCGAAAUUCUUUCUGUUGAAACUGGCAGCAGUUCCUAGUUGAGGAUGCCCGUUUCCUAUACUGAAAGCAAAAAUACCUAAGAUACUCGGAAAUGUUCAGUGACCGACAACUGUUAAUGUUACAAUUGUGCAAAUGAUCGAUUAAUUUUGUCCAGUCAAAGUAGUUAAAGCAUGUCAUUCAAAUCUUUCACUUGAAACCAAAUCCUGCUGGUGGUGUUGUUGGACAAGGCUUCAGUUACAAAGGUAUUUUCCCUUCCAGAACUUUGUCCCUAGUUCAUAGGUGUUUCUUGGACAGAAUAAAUGUCAUAUUGCCAUCCAACAAAGAAUGAUCAUGUUUUAAAAGCUAACUGCAGAACAAAGAUAUCAGAUGUUUACGGCAGAAUAAUGGUCACUUGCCUACUGCUGCUAACUUGGAUCUCACUUCAUGUAGGGAUGAAAAGCUACUGGGACAGCUACUGAUCUUACAAAUGACCAAACUGGCCUUCACCUCUGAAAUGGACGCCUCACCAAUUCACUGAUUCCCAGUACGGACUGUUCAAUUGAUCACAUCUGGCGACCUUAUAACUACUCCAUCUAGAGAAGAAGAUGCAAAGCAACUCUUUCUGGUGGUCUCUCUCCUCAGACCACAGACCAUGGCCACCGAGCUAGAUGUGAGCAAGUCCCGCCGUUUCGACAUUGCAAUGUCGAGGCGGACACGGCGACCCACGAGCCUGGUUGCUUGUUUCCAAGAUCAGUAUGGGCCAUCCCUGGCGCAACAUCGCCACCAAGAGCUGAAGGCAUUUCUUGAAUGCCAAGAUGCAGGGCUGAAGGCACUCCAACAUUAUGAGGAUGCAGAGCAUCUGGCACCGUGUCUGGAUGAAGAUGAGGAGCGGAAGUUUCCACAUGCACCACUCCAGUAUGAAGAUGGGGAGCUGAAGAUUCCACAAGCACCACUCCAGUAUGAAGAUGACGAGCAAAAGACACCAGAGCAAUAUCAAGAUGAGCAGGAGAAGAAAUAUCAGCAAUAUUCAGGUGAAGAGCAGAAGAAACCAGAGCAUUAUCAAGGUGAAAAGGAGAAGAAACCAGAGCAGCAUAAAGAUGAAGAGGAGAAGACGCCAGAGCAGUAUCAAGGCGAAGUGCUGAUGACACCAAACCAAUUUGAAGACGAUGAGGACACGGCAGCAGAGCGAUACCAAGACCCUGAGCAAGAGGCACCUCAACAACGCCAAGAAGCAGAUGAGAAGGCGUCAGAGCAGUCUGAAUAUGAUGAGGAGCAGCAGAAGGCACAGCAGGAAUGCUGCAACACAGAGCAGAAGGAGACGGAGCAAUUCCAAGGCUUGAAGAAGCUAGGAACGCCACUGCGUGCUGUCGACAGUGUGCCCCGGUUCUCCCUUCAGGAGCUGAUACAACAGAAGCAGCUUCAAACCGGAGAGGCAAAGCCUGCCAGCAAGCAAGCCGGACAUGGGGAAAGUGUCCUUCCUGACCAUAAGGUUUCCGGAUCAGGAGCAGCAGCAGGCGGCACGACACUGGCCAUGGUGAUAAAGCGACCCGAGGGCGGGAAGAAGUCGAUGGGGAUGAUACGGCGGUGCGUGAAGGCCCUGAACCAGAUGAUCAAGACCAAGCACGGGUCUAAGAAGAACUUGCAUUUGUAAUUUGAACAGAAUUCAGCAGUACAUGAUGAUGAGUACGUGUGGUCCAGACUCGAGAGUUUCUUAGUGGACUGCACAUCUCUGAAGAAUGCGCACGCAGUUGUACUGUACCAAGUUUUGGGCAUAAUUCAGAGUGUGCAAGAUCUGGUAAGAAACUCCGCAGCCAUACCGGGCUUUUUACGCUCCGGUCUAUACCGUCUACCUAUAGCAAUAAACUGUGAAAUUUAGCUGAAGAUCGCCAGUCUGUUACUACUUUGUUAUAAGAUGCUCUACUCACUGAAGUUGUACACUAUUUGCUCGACGAUGUAAUGGGUAAAAUGUCAAAGGAGUCGAGAUUAGGCUCUGAACGCGUGUGUUGUUGACUUCCUCUGCGAAGCUUCUUUUAGAAGUGUGAUCGUGAUCACAAAAGGGAAAUUGGUCGGUUGUACCGACACUUCUCCCCCAGGUCAGCAGUGGUUUUGGUGCAGGAUCCCUUUCUUCCUUUUUUUGUGUCACGUCCCGUUUCGGUUUGGUGUAUGAUAAAUGCUGAGAGUACAAGUUAGAUCAAAAGAAAAAGGUGGAAGAUCUGAAGCCUGUGAAGUGUCUUGAGUUCUUUGUUGAGGUCUUGAGGAUGUUGUAUCACAUGGUAUGCCAUCACACGCCUUGUUCCUUUAUAGUUGCUCUGAAUUUGCUCGGUUUGAAAAUGUGCACUGUUGAGGUUGGUACUGCAGGACGUGUUCAUGAUCUAAAAAGAUCUGCUACGAACUUUUAUGAAACUGAAAUUGAACAAACAGUUUUCCCCCUUAGCACCAUUAGCUCACACCAUAUCAUUUUUUUCUCCUUUUAGAGACAAUAUAUAUUCUCACACCAUAAGCGCAGGAAAUCUGCGUGGCACACGAGCGCCUCGCCGAUAUUCGAUACGACCAGAGACGUGCGUACAUGCGGUGGUGGAGCUAGCAGUCAAUUCAAGAGAGACGAUUGCUACAGUAUAUCGUGCCUAUUGUUUAGUAUUAACGCCUGUUCUAAAUAAAAAUUAUAAACUAGAAAAUAGAUGAUUUUUAGGAAGCAACUUUUAAGGUUUAAACUUCAGAAGAAAAAAAAAUAAAAAAGCAAAUCUGAACUAUACAAUAGGUAAGCAGACAAAACUUACAAAAAAGGGACGGGCUUCCCUGCAUUGCACCAGAAGGGAGCAGGGCUCGAACCCGAAGCAGACAAAACUGAUGAUUAACUGAUACUAAUAUUGACUAGCGCCGGAAUAGAGUAGUACUAAUAUCCAAACUAGCAAAUGAGCUACAUGAUGAAAGUCAAAAUGCAUAUAAGAAUAUAAAUGCAUGCAGCCAUACAGAUGCGUAGAAGUAGUGCGCAUGCAAUAAAUAUAGACUUCUAUGUUUUAUACAUAAUCUGCUGCAGAUAUAUCAAACAAAAAUUACUGGUUCGUACAUCCUUUAAAAAUUUAUCCUGGAGGCCGGAGCCCACUAUAGGCCCCUGAAGAGGCUCCGCCAGUGCCUACAUGGCAGCAGCCAAUGGGGCGCCUCCCACUGAUUUUUGUCAGCUCUCAGCCAGUGGCGCCCUCCACGUCAGCGCAAUCCGGCGUGCCGGAGCCAGACGAGUAGAUUCUCCGCGCCGCGUGGCGCCAGGCGGCCGCGCCCGCUAUCCCCUCGCGGAUAAGCCGGCCCCGCCCCGGCGCGCGCCCGCCGCGAGAUCCCUUAAACCUGCGGCGCGCGCGCCACCUGCCACACAGCAGCUACCGCGCCACAAGCUUUCGUUGCCAUGGCACUCGUCUCCGCCUCCUCCUCCUCCACCACCGCCGUCGCGGCGCUCCCCAGGAAUGGGCAGCGGGCGCCGUCCUUCCUCGGCGGCAAGACGCUGCUGAGGCAGGCCGAGGCGGCGCGGCCGUCGUUCGCCGUGCGCGCCGCCGCGGACCCCGACAGGCCCAUCUGGUUCCCCGGCAGCACCCCGCCGCCGUGGCUCGACGGCAGGUCGGUUGAUUCCUGGAGCUCUGUAUUCGUUCAAUUGUCUGAAAAAAGCCAGCUGCUUCAGCUUGUGUGUGACUCUGACAGUGUUCUUUGCCUUGUUGAUGCAGCCUCCCCGGCGACUUCGGCUUUGAUCCCUGGGGCCUCGGUGAGUUCUGAUCCCCGAUCAAUCUCUUUCUCCUGUGCACAUACAAUCUCUGAGCCGAGCGAUGUAAUUAACUGUCCACGCAUGUGUGCUGGCGAUUCUGUGUGCAGGAUCUGACCCGGAGAGCUUGCGAUGGAACGUGCAGGCGGAGCUGGUGCACUGCCGGUGGGCGAUGCUCGGCGCGGCGGGCAUCUUCAUCCCGGAGUUCCUGACCAAGAUCGGCAUCCUCAACACGCCCUUCUGGUACACCGCCGGCGAGCAGCAGUACUUCACCGACACCACCACCCUCUUCAUCAUCGAGCUCAUCCUCAUCGGCUGGGCCGAGGGCCGCCGCUGGGCUGACAUCAUCAAGCCCGGGAGCGUCAACACCGACCCCAUCUUCCCCAACAACAAGCUCACCGGCACCGACGUCGGGUACCGCCUCUCGCUCCAUGCAUGAUCGAACCAGCAAGAAAACAUUUUCAAAUACUCAUCUAGAGUCAAUGGCUAACGAUGAUUCGCCCGUGCACUGGAAAUGUAAUCAAGGUACCCUGGUGGCCUGUGGUUUGACCCGCUCGGCUGGGGCAGCGGCUCGCCGGAGAAGAUCAAGGAGCUGCGCACCAAGGAGAUCAAGAACGGCCGCCUCGCCAUGCUCGCCGUCAUGGGCGCCUGGUUCCAGGCCGAGUACACCGGCACCGGCCCCAUCGACAACCUCUUCGCCCACCUCGCCGACCCCGGCCACGCCACCAUCUUCCAGGUCAGCUGAAUCAAUCCACAUUAUAGCAAUACCCCAUAGCUUUGAUAUAUAUACGAUUUGGUUACUGAUUGGUGAUUUUUUUUGUUGUGUUCUUGAUCAGGCCUUCACCCCGAAAUGAGGAGUUGGAGUUAGCGAUCUGAGAUUGCAACGACGCAUGCAUGGUGGUGGAGAUUGUUAGGUUGAUGGUCGAUCGAUGCGACUCUUUUUUCUUUUUGUGGGGCGGGAUAGACUGUCCAUGAUGAUUGAAUGGUUUGCGGAGCGAUGCAUGCCUGUGUGAUCCUGUACUUGUACUAUGUUGUAACCAAUGUAAAAAUGCAAUACUCGUUAGAUGCUAUGCUCUUUCACCGAAUCAACGACUUGAUGAUUUGUGCAAUGCUCGCGGUGAUGAUGUUAAUGGCGUUGUGCACUAGGUACGCGAACGCUGAUAGGUUGCCCAAGAAAAAACGUUAAGAACGCAAGUAGAAAUAUGAUGUCAGUAAUGCUCAUAUGUGGCCUUGUUGGGCCAUUUCGCCAUUGGGAUCUGGGCAUGUCUGAAGCCGAACCACAUUGAGAGAGAGAGAGAGAGAGAGAGAAAGAUGAUCGAAUUCCAAUUGAAAUUCAGAUCUACAAAUGCCAGUUAUAGAUUUUUUAAAUUAUUGGAUUGGUCCAAUAAAUUAUAAAAUAAACUAGAAUGAUAUUUUAUUUUAUAGGGGCAAUGAACUAGAGUAGUAUGAGAUCGUAAUUAAUUAGAUUCGGAUAAACAACAAUUAGCCGCGGCUCCCUUCACCCAAUUAAGUUUUUUUUUCAUGUGGCCCAAAGCAGCUUAGAGCAAACGGUGAGGAGCAAGCUUGGGAUAUCUAGGAUUUUUUUUUUUACUUUCAAGUAGACCCCAUACUAUUUUUUAUCCAAGGUUUGAUGCAAAUCUUUGGUUACACGGCUGUAUGAAUCAAAUCAACGCUUGGAGAAAGCCUACUUGAGUCGAUUUUUACGUUUUCAAUCAUUAGAGUCUUAUUUAUCUGUUAUUCGCUUAAUUUUACAUUCAAUCUUAUGAAGAUUUUCUGCAUACAAAUUUAUCGCUUUAUUCGCUAAGAAUAUGCUGCUACGUUAUUUGGUUGGGAAGACGAUGGAAAAGUAUAGCAAAACUUCUGUCGCUUCAAGUUUCGCUUAUUUUCGAAAUAUCGGCAUUACGGGGGGGUCUAACGCGAAGUUUGACCGCUCAACUUUCCCUGCAAGAAUGGAUCGCGAGACCCCAGAAGAGUAGACAGAAGACAAAGGAAGCCGAGGGGCACCAUCCCAAAAACCUGAAAGAAAUUGAAUCGAGUUGGGGAGAAAAAAAGGAAAGGGGGACGAGCACGCGCCGCCACCAGCACCGCGCCCGCCAUGGCCGCCGCCUCCUCCCGCCGCGCGUCGCAGCUGCUGGGGUCCGCCGCCUCCCGCCUCCUCCAUGCGCGGGGCUUCGCCGCGGCGGCCGCCGCCGCGCCCUCGCCGGCGGUCUUCGUCGACAAGAGCACCCGCGUGAUCUGCCAGGGCAUCACGGGGAAGAAUGGCACCUUCCACACCGAGCAGGCCAUCGAGUACGGCACCAACAUGGUACGCCUCCCCGCCGCUGCCAACCCCUGCCUAUCUCCCUCUGAUUUGCGCCCUCGAUCCGUGCGUUCCGUUCUGUGCUGCGCGAUUCUAGGGUUUGACAGAGUCCGUCAUGUCCAAUCUGGUGGGCGUGCGGUCGCCGAUCUUCAUUUCCUCGGGUCCUACGGUCUCGUUUCGCAGCCUUACGGUCCGAUCCAGAGCGAGAUACCAGCAGAUUACUCAUCUCUUAUACCCUAUAUAUUUUCUCUCUCCGUCACCAAUAAUACUUUUUACGUUUUUGGUAGUCAGUGCUGUAGCAGAUUACUCAAAGGAUAGGGUGGAGUGAGGAAUCCCCUACAUUUGUGCAAGAGGGAGGUGUGUUUUGUCGAUUACAAAAAAUAUUUUGGUACUGGUGAUGGAAUUGGUAAUCUGCUGGAGCACCUCCCAUUACUAAAAGGACAGUUUUUUGGUACUGGGGAGAGGGAUGAGUAAUCUGCUGGAGAUGCUCAGUACGCUUACCUGGAUGAUAUUGCCUUGUUGGAGGCAAAAUGUGUGCUAUUAUAAUUGCCUUUUUCUUUUCGUGGAUAGUGCUAUUAUGUGGUAUAAUGCCUGAAACUGUAAGUGAAGCAGCAGCAAUGCCUAGGUUUCAUUAUCAUUUGUUGAGUUGAUUGAAUGCUGGUGAUGAAUGUUUAUUUUCAUUGUCUAGUAGUUUUCAGCGCUGUUCACCAUGCAAUCUAGCGGCAGCAUUUGUCAGUUAGAUGGGGAUUAGUGAUUUAUGUGCUGUGACUUAAGAAAAUGUCGUCAAAGUAUACAAUGUUUUGAUGGAUUUCUUGAUGUUUUAUACGGCCAACAUGCAAAUUAAUUGGAAUUUUUUGAGGUUAUGAGAAUCAUAUCCAUCAUGAAUGCACUGAAACCUUUCAAGCUGUUUUAGUACAAUCUAACACAAAUAUCAUGUAUGAAGAUGCAAUCAUUCCUCAGUAAUGGGAUCGAAGCAAGUUUUGUUUCUUAUCUGUUUUAUGUAAAUGGGCUGCAGUCCUUACACAAGGAAAUUGUGACAUAGGAAGAAGGAAGUAAGGAAGUCAGCAUGUUGAAGUCUGUGAUGUUUGGUACGAUAGGUUCCCUGGACCUGGCAUGAUGCUUGGAGGUCUCAUCAUAUUCGAAUCUACAGUUAUAUUCUUGACUAGUAGAUUCAUAUAAUUAACUGUGCCACAACAAAAGAAUUGGCUCAGAUGCAUUUUUUUUUCAUGUCAUGUGGUGUUGUACUAGUAUUAUUAUGAAUAGUUCAAUACAGCUGAAAGGAUUCAUGCUGCACAAUUUUUUUGGGCAAUGGAUUUAUAUAUUUACGGUGUUUAAGUAAAUAAGUAUUAUAGCUUUUGAAUGUAAUAAUUUUGAUUUUUUUCUUGUAUUUUGUGGACCUCUUUUUUUAUUAAGGUCAUUUUUUUUGUUAUAACAGGUGGGUGGAGUGACUCCUAAGAAAGGUGGAACUGAACAUUUAGGGCUCCCAGUGUUUAACUCUGUAGCCGAGGCUAAGGCUGAAACAAAGGCCAAUGCAUCUGUUAUAUAUGUUCCACCACCAUUUGCCGCCGCCGCUAUAAUGGAGGCAAUGGAGGCUGAGCUCGACCUUGUUGUCUGCAUUACAGAAGGAAUUCCUCAGCAUGACAUGGUAAUUUUUGCCAUUUCAUUACUUUGUUAGUUAGAGCAUCUCCAACAGACUUUAUAUCUUUAGGAAUAGAGAUUUUGUUUAAAAAAUUACCUCCAACAGCCUCUUCAGUUGGAUAUCUAAAUAUAGACCUCCUCUACUCUGGAUUUGUCGCUAGCCAAAGAUGGAGAGCGAGAAUUGCUCUCUAGACUACGCACAAGAUAUAGAAAAGCUGUUGGAGAGUACAAAGAUAUAGAAAAUAAUUUUUACUCAAAUGACUCUCUGAUUGAUGAUUUAGAUAGUAGAUUUUAGAAAGGCUCUUGGAGAUGCUCUUACUAUCAUCCUUUGUCUUCUGAGCUUGGGAAUCUGCUCAAUACCAUAUCAUGUUUGGUUUACUUAACUGUACUUGCAAAUUACUUUUUUUUUUGGCAAAAGCAUUAGAAAAUAGUGUGAGUGUGUGGUCAACAUCAUCUUGCGCAGGUGGAUAUGUAGUAUGUUAUUAUUCUCUAGUGGGCAGGGUGAGAUCUAACUUUUGUUAAAUAAAGUAUGUGAUCCAAAGACACAGAUUUUACAAGCAUAGUCCGUUUUAGCAGUUUGCUUGCUGAUAUUCCUUUUAUGAUAUUUUUUCCCUACAUAUUGCUAUUACCUAUUAACUUGCGUCACAGCACAAUUAUUCUAUUUUACUUUGUUAAUGGAACUCCAUGAGGUGACAUCAAUGUUCCCUUUGCCAAUUUUAGGUGAAGGUGAAGGCUGCACUAAACAAGCAGUCAAAAACUCGAUUGAUUGGGCCGAAUUGCCCUGGUAUCAUUAAGCCUGGUGAGUGUAAAAUUGGUAUCAUGCCAGGUUACAUCCACAAGCCUGGGCGUGUUGGGAUCGUAUCUCGUUCUGGUACCUUGACAUAUGAAGCGGUAUGUCUGUUAUUAUUAUUUUUUUAUGUAUGCAUGUAAUCAGGUGAUUUGUUUGACUAAGUUGCAUUUGAUUUUUGUUGACAGGUGUUUCAAACAACUGCUGUAGGCUUGGGGCAGUCAACUUGUGUAGGCAUUGGUGGUGACCCAUUCAAUGGCACAAAUUUUGUUGAUUGCCUUGAAAAGUUUGUUGACGAUCCUCAGACAGAAGGUACACCUAUUGUGACUGAUUCUUCACAAUUUUAAGCAAAAAACUUUCUAAAAAGAAUAGCUGUGAACUGCGUACUCUUCUAUGUGGAAUUAAUCCCAUAUAUUUGGUAUUUUUGGCACUUGAAUGCUUCAACUACAUUAUUUGUUUUUUCAAUACUAUCUCCAUAUGCCUUUUUCAGUCAACACAGUUCCAUUCCAUUUAUGGAUUGUUCUCACUGUUGGACAAUAUUCUGUGCCUUUCAGGUAUUGUUCUCAUUGGUGAAAUUGGAGGUACUGCUGAGGAGGAUGCUGCAGCAUUCAUCCAGGUAAGAGUUUGUCAGUACCAUCAUAUAUUUAGAUUCUUUUUUUCUUCUGAAUGACAUAUUUACAUGCCAUGGUUCUGUAUUGAUUCUGCACUCUGCAACACCAUUCCCUCAUGAGCUAGUGAAGUUUCAUGCAGUUCAGUCUUGAGCACUUUUUCAGUGUCAUAGGGACACAUUUCCCAUUGUUCUUUACGGAAGGCAAUUAAGCUAGAUGCCUGGACCUUGAUUUAGCUUGAGCAUAUAUGCUUACUCAGCCCUAGCUUUAAGCUGGUCCCACAAUUCCUAUGCAAGCUCUGGGUUGUGGCCCACAUUUUCGCUAAGUAGGCCAUCUUAUCCAUCUGGUAUGUGCAUUCAGUUUAGUAAAAACCCUUGUGGCUACCUACUCUUGCCAUAGACCUAAAGUAGUUGCUAUGAACCAAAGAAGUUUCAUGUGACAUGGAGUGACUUCAUGUAUGUGGUCAGGUUAGAAGUUUAAGUAACUAACGCCCUAUGGGUUCGUUUGUCUUAUGAAGGGAGUUAUCAUUAGUUGCUGCAGACAUUACAUCUCAUAACCGCUUGUCUUCUGGCUUGGUUCUGGAACUUCUUUUUUCUGUCUCUUUUUUUUAAUGUUUUGCUGAAUUAAAUUACAUUUUCCAUCUACUAACUUCAUCUGUUAUGCUCCUCAGGAAAGCAAAACACAGAAGCCUGUUGUUGCAUUCAUUGCUGGACUUACGGCACCCCCGGGCCGUCGCAUGGGUCAUGCUGGAGGUAUUACCUUAGCAAGACCUUCAUUCUUUUAAUUUGAAUCUUACAUAUUUUUCCCCAUUCGAUUGUGUAACACUUUGAAGUAUGAAGUCGAAAUGGUCAUCGCAUUUUAUUUGAGUUAAGAUAUGCCACUUACGUGUCACAAUUCUACUCUCUCUCUCUCUCUCUGGAGAUCAAUUUACUAAAUGUCCUUAUCAAAAUUUUUUUUACUAAAUGCCUGGAGACAACAAAAGAUACUUAAGCAAUUUAUGAGACUAUACAUGAAUAACAAAGCCCUUUAGUCCCAAGCAUGUUGUGGUAGGCAAAUUUAUACAUGUCUACCAAUUUGGAGAAAUUCUUUGUUACUACUGUGACAUUCAUCAAACUUGCUCUGGCAACCUGGUUUGCAUUCUUGAAUACACUGUAAUCACCAACUCACGGUAGUAUGCUAAAAUGGCUUUAUCUGCCCAUUCCGAUUUUUAUUAUACUGUUAGAUAUUAAUAUGCUUAUUUUCCUAAUUCAGUUUCAUUCCCUUUUUACCAUGUUACAUGUGCUAAUAUAGUUCCAUGCCAUCCUUGUUACGCAGCAAUUGUAUCAGGAGGAAAGGGUACUGCCCAGGACAAAAUCAAGGCACUCAGAGAGGCUGGUGUCACUGUCGUCGAGUCACCAGCGAAGAUUGGUUCUACCAUGUUUGAAAUCUUCAAGCAGCGUGGGAUGGUAGAAUAGAGGGACGAAAUGGUACAGUUGAGAAACAUUGGAAAACCUCUUUUUGAUGCUCGUUGGGUAAUUGCGAGCCAUUCCUUGGUAGAGCCGCGCCGGCCACAAAACAAAACCACUCAGGCUUCCUUUUCUUCCUUUAUUGUCUGCUGUGUGCACAAGGAUCCUUACCAUGAGCUCAUUUCAAUAAGACAUUCUGGAGGUCAUGGACAUGAUGUUUUACUUUGGGAGUCAAUGUGGAUGCCUAAGCUGUUUAAAUUUUUUUAACGUUUGACAAUGUUUUCAAUCUAGGUUUAUUGAUCUGUUGGCAUGUCCUCAGUGCACAUUGUAUUAUUUAUACAUGUGUAUAACGUCAGCGGAAAAUUGUGCGCACAAGGCUGCCGGAUCAACCGCACAGCUGACUGCUACUGAAAAUUUGCAGAUUUUGUCACAGUAACAAUAGUUGCCUCAAAUUGCUACUUCGUUGCUUUGAUUAAGCUACUUAGCCGCAUGCAAUUGGUGUAAUGUUUAAUGGUAUUAUGUCCCGGCGACUUUUUAGGCUGGCUUAUCAACCUCAUCGUGCUGUCGCACUAGCCGACUGUCUAUUCUUGCACAUGAAAGGCUAUAAAGACUACUAUGUUGAGGAAAAAAAUGUAUGCCAUGGGAAAUGUUGAGAACAGUGUGUUAUGUGAUGUCAGGAGUGUGUUUAAUCUUAGAACUGUGUUGUUUGGUUGUCCUAAUUUUUGCUCUUUUUUUUCAUUUGUGCCUUAAGUAAUGUAUGGAGGUGGCGCUUGUUACCAAAGACCUACCCCAACUCCGUUGAGUGAGUAUAGAAGUGCUCCAGCUGUUUACUUCAAAAAAAAGAAAAGAAAAACUCCCUCAAGUGAGCAGUAUCAGUGGUCACUGAGGAACAAUGCUAAGCAGAAGAUUUUUCAAAAUUUCAAGCAGUACCCUUCUUUCUACCUGUUCCGAUAAGUUCAGAACAUCAGGUGUUAGCUGUGAAAGCAUUAAAGCAAGAUAAGGUCUUUCACCACUUGAAGAAAAAGAAGAAGAAGAACAGGGUCUUUCUCAGUUCGAAAGUAGAUGUCAAGUUAGGAUGGAUCUGCCCGGGAACAGGCAGCGCUUGAUCUACCCGGCCCCGGCUACCAGCGGUUGUCGAGCGAGCGGCCGUGUUUGCAUUGGAGUAAAUUGCAUCCGGAAUACAAUAACUAGGUACGUGUGUGCAAAUUAAUCUGAGAACUUGUAAUCUGCUUAAUCCGAUACACGAACUUGACACUUUGGUGCGUAUACGGUUCAGAUCCCACCACAUCACGUAUCCGUGGCCUAUGAGAAUCCGAUACACGAACUUGACACUUUGGUGUGUAUACGGUUCAAAUUCCACCACGUCACGUAUCCGUGGCCUAUGCGGUAGCUGGGUCAGUCGUUGCAACCUGGCUCUACUAGACCUAUUUCUAUAGCUUAGUGUCCUGCAUAGCUGCACGUACAUGCUCCCAUCCAAAUGAUACCUACACUUAUUCCUUCAGUAAAUGUUAUUGCCCAUCCAUCCAUUUAAUUAAUUUCUAGGAGAAAGUUAGCGCAGUUGGAGCAUUAGUUUGUAGUGUUUCAUGUUCACUGUUUUCCUGACUGAUGUAAGACAUGUUAUCCAAUGCAGGUAUUCAUGGUGAUUACUUUAGUGUGGAGAUACAUUAUGAAGGAUUUUUCUUGUACAAUUUUGGGAGAAAUAUAAUUGAUGCUUGUACAAACCUUUUAGAGUAAAUUGUGAGCUGAGAGUGUGUGCGGAUUUGUUUUUUGAUUGAUGUGGAUUCAGUUGUGAGCCACGCGCAGCACCUGCGAUGAGCUGAGGCAACCGCAGCACGACGAGCUGAGCCUUUCCCCUUGCUAUCUCAUGCCCACCGUAGGCAAAUACGCGAUUUGGUGGGAUUUGGACCAUAGACGUAUUGGAGUGUCAAGUUCGCGUAUCGGAUUAAGCCUAUUAGAAGUUCAUGGACCAAUUUGCACGCACGUGCCUAGUUGUUGUAUUCCAGAUGCAAUUUACUCUUUGGAUUAUACAGGUGACUGCGAGUUACUAAUUGGUAGGGAAAUAACGUUUUGUUAAGAAGAGUGCUCCCUAAUUGUAUUUUGGCAGGGACACCUUUACACACACACACACACACACAGAGAGAGAAUCUGCAUCCACCUAGCUUCUCCCAGUAAUUCAUUUCAGUGCAUGAUCAAUCGGGACACAUAUAAUGGACCAAAAAAACACCUUUCAUCGCUCAUCAAUUAUUCCGGAUAAUUGUACGAAACAAAAAAUUACUCAGUCUAGCAGUUUGAAGGACACGAGAGUGCGUUUGUCCCUCCAAUCCCUGAGGUGCACCCAUGCUCCAUACUUGGCACCCUUGCCAUCGCUGUUCCAUGGGGUUGAUGAUGAAAUCGAAGUUUAUGCCACCUCCCACCUGUUAUUUGCCACUCACCACCUUGUUGAACCUGAUACCGUCGUUCGCCUGCUUGACGUGCUCCGCCACCGCCCUCCUGCCGGGCUCUUGCAUAUCUGAAUUGUUGACGUCUAUUGGAUACCAUCCACCAAGAUCUGCCAUGGUGGGUGCUGCAACAGAAAUGGCUAUGGCGGCAAUGGCAAAUAGGAGGCCAGUCCUCAUAGCUGGGCUUGCCAUGGUUCGUGGGUGCUACCAAUAAGAUUUCGUAGUUUGGGAGAUGAGAGUACUAGUUUUGAUGUGGAGAUGACCGGGGAUGUUUGGGGGCACUUAUAUAGCCCUUGGCCUGGGUGCAUUGCAAACAAUUGCCAUUUUAACACAUUGGAUACCUCCUACUUAAUGAUAAUUGGCAUUUAAACGCUUUGGAUACCUCCUGCUUAAUGAUAACUGGCAUUUAAACGUUUUGGAUACCUCCUAUUUACUGUUAAUUUUCAUUUAAACGAUUUGGAUACCUCCUAUUUACUGUUAAUUUUCAUUUAAACGCUUUGGAUAUCUCUGAUUUAAUGCUAAUUGUGAUUUAAUGUGGGGUGCAUGCAUCUUUUCUAAUCCUUGUAAUCUAUUCUAAAAAUCCUAGAAUGGAAUGUAUUUGUAGAUGAAGAGAGUAACUUAGUAGAAUUUUAUUGAUAUGAUUUUUGGGAUAGAUUUAAUGGAAUUACUUGAGGGCUAAUAUUAAGACAGUCCUUACAUCUAUAACAAAUAUGAUAUGAAGCUGCUGGUGCUCGAACGUCCGAUGAAAAAAUUUUCAACGGAUGCUCCGUCGUAACAUUGAAAAUUAACUAUUGCAAUAUUUAAAAUCACUAGUUGCAGCAUUACAAAAACAAAUAUAAGAAUAACUAUAUCAUCCGAUUUUAUGAUAGAAAAUUUCCACCGCAACAUAAAACUAUAUUUCAUACAAUAUCCAGCGAGAAUGACAAUGCGUAGAAAUAGAGUUCUGUAACAUCCACACCUACCUUUUAUAACGUUUAAAAAUUAUAAUUGCGAUAUUUUUGAACUACAAUUGCAACAUUCCAAAAAAAUAUUUUAAAAAAAAUUAAAACAAAUAUAAUUAGUCGAUUAGAUUAAAAAGGUGCAACAUGAAAAAUUAAUUAGUGAAAUAUUUAGAAUAAAUUUAUGCAACAUUAUAAAAUAGUUGUUGCAACAUCAUAUCACAUCUCAAACAUACUAAAAAUGAUCACUGCAAUAUCACAAAUCGAUCCAUCGAACAAUCUUGAAAUAACUAUUGCAACAUCAAUAAUCAACUGAAAACUCUCACUGUAACAUUAGUAAUCAACUUAGACUCCUGUUGCAACGUCAUCGUAUCCCUACCGUAAUAAAAAAUUAUGUAAAAAUUCUACCGCAACAUUGGUCGUUGAGGUUGGAGUGCCUUUCCCUCUGUAACAUCAUCUCAUACCUAUUGUAACAAAACUAUGCGCUGGGUUGGGGGAGCAAACGAGCGGACGGGAAGCGUCCGAUUUUUCCAAUCACAUCGGACGCUCGAGCCGAGCAUUACCGAUUAUAAUAUGCCUUACAUGUAAUGACAUCUUGGAUUACAUGAAGUCCUGACAGCUUUGUAUUACAGUUAGCAGGGUGUACUAGAAAAAUCCAGAUGGAACAAAUAUUAGCACAAUCGGAUCCUAACGAACGGCUCACUGACUCCUAACAGGAGAUUGGUCAGCCCACAAAUAGGCUUGGGCACGAACAGGAAACAACAGGCCAGUUAUGCCCAGCAGUGAGAGGAGCGAAGCCCAUGAGCAAGUUUGGUUGCAUUAUUUAUGUGCAGUUGAUAAUUUUAAAUAAUUGAUACAAAGAUUCUGAACGAGAAAAAGUGUUUCAGCUCAAAAUUCUCUUGCUACUUUCCUUAAGAACUUCUGAAUUUGUUGGUUUUUCAGUUCAUAAUUCUCUUCUUACAUUCCUUAAAAAACCAAUUGGCUUCCUACUGUGCUUUCUCUAAGAACUUCUGAAUUUGUUGGUACGCUGCGAUGCCUACAGCGCUUCUGGGCAGAGGGAAGAAAGCCGCCGAUCCGGACGUGACACCGUCGGCCACACGGGCGCCGUGUGCCGCCGCUGCAUCUCGGCACCAAACCAGAGGACCCAGCAGCCACGCCAGGAAGCCACCGCGGGUGACGAUGAGAAAAAGACAAGCACCAGCCAUGGGGAUCAAGAAUUUGGCCUGUCCCGUCACCUUGGCGUGGUGGCUCUCCUCUGCACCCUCUCAAUGUCUGGCCCUCUGCACCCUGGAGUACAUGGACCCUGAACUCUGAAGAACUCCCUGCUGCUCACCUGGCCUGGUCUGGAGGACAUGGAUUCUGAAGAAGACUAAAUUGCUUAACUGCUUAACCUCACCAGCAGAAUGCUUACAAGAACACAAAGCAAAUACAACAGCAUCCCAUUGUUAACAUUUUUUUUCGAUUGAUAACAUUGAUAGCUCUCACAACAGAGUAUACUGAAUAACCGACUUUUCCCCGACCAAUCAACGCACUAACAUAGCAUCAGUUAGCCUGAUCUUAUUCUACUGCAAGUUUCUACUGUCACUUCUUCCACUGGAAGGCCACCGGGCUCCUGACUCGAUGCUUCUCGUUCUCCCAGCUGAUAUGCCCGAAGUCCCACUCUGCCUUCUGGUUCCCUCCAGCUUCGUUUCUGAACUCUGCCGUGUAGCUCUUCGUCUCCAUGCGCUCCUUGAACUCCAAGGUCGUCGGCGUGAUGGUCACCUUCACGUGCUCUGGUGCCACGACGGUGACAUUGUACGUCUCGGCCUCCUCGGACACCUUGGUCACCGUGCGCGUCAGUGCGCGGACGUCGAUGUCUUUGUCGAAGGAGACGACGAACGACGGGUAGUUGAGGCUGGCAGGGCCGCCGCGGAACGUCGUCGUGCAUUCGACGAAGUCGGGCACGAACAGGCGCAGCUGCGCUGCGGUAUAGUUCAGGGCGCACAGGAAUUCGACGUACUCCCGCUCGCCCGCGUCGUAGACGAGGCCCGGGUCCAGCGCGAGCUGCGGGCGGACGUGCCCGGCGCCGGCAGCGAACGGCGUCGCCGCUGUGAUGCCGCGACCUUCGAAGACAGAGUUGUCCAUGAUCUCCCGGUCGGCGUUGUCGAGCGUUCCGGCAGUAGUGAUCAGCGCCGACCGUAUCAUGGUCGGCGUCCAGUCACCGUGUUUCUUCUUGAGCAGCGCGGCGACGCCGGCGACGUUUGGACGUGCCCGACUCUAUUCCGUAGCUGCCUAGACAGGCCGCAAGAAUGUUCACUUCCGGCGCGAUGACUUCAGGCUUGAGGAGCUCAGGGACGACCGGGUUCGGCCCCCGGGACGAGAAGGUCGCCACCAUCGGCGCCCGGAUCUCGCCGAUCACCGUCUGGCAGGCGAAGCUGAAGGACGCCACAGGAUACCGUGAAGAGACCAGGUAGGCCCUGAGCUUCUCGCCGUCGGUGUGGCUUAGAAUGACAGCCGGAAGGGUGAAGGCUACGGUGGAGAUUCCAUCUCGGGACCAGCUGGUUGAGUCCAUGAGAACAAGCCCGGCUCCACCAGCUUGCCGAAAUUGUGUUUCGUUGGCAAGUAAUGUGGUCAUGCAAACCACAAUCUUGCCCAUGAUUCUGUUGGGCGUCAGAUCACCAUCCAUGCAAGAGCUUGGUACUAGCAGGGCCAUGGUGGUGUGGUUGGAUUUCAUAGGAUAAAGGGAUUGCCCAGUGAGCACGACCCCGUUCCCGAGCGCGAGGUUCGCCGGGAACAGACGGUCCAGGGUGGCGGCGCCGACGGUGGUCAUCCACGGCGCCACGUUGGUCACGGUAGACGCUUCUGGUCCAGUCCAGUGUUGCCGCCAGCAAGGACGACGAACACUCCUCUGGGAUCGGCGCCAAACGCCGCGAUGGCGAGUGCGUCGUCGUAGAAUUCGUGCGCGUCAUCGUCACCGAGGGAGAGGGAGAUGAUGUCCACGCCGUCCUUCACCGCGGCGUCGAUUGCCGCGACAACGUCCGCCAUUGUUUGCUUUCCGUACACCCUGUACAUGGCGAUUUUCGCUUUGGGCGCCACGCCCCUCGCCGUGCCCCGCGCGAACAUGAGAAUACCGGUGUCGCCGACCUCGGAGCCGGCAGCUGUCGACGCCACGUGCGUGCCAUGUCCGAACGUGUCACUCGGGGACGACGGGUAGGCGGGACCGUUGCCCUUGAUUGCCGCCGCAGACUUUCCGGCGGCGUCGAAGGCCUUGGCGCCGACCAGCUUGUUGUUGCACAAGCUGGCGUUGAAGUCUUCGGCAUCGACGCACUUGCCCCCCCAACUCGACCGGACGGGACCGAGCCCUUUGUCGGUGAAGCUCGGGUUCUCCAGCCAUAUGCCGGAAUCGACGAAGCCGAUGAUGACUCCAUCGCCGAAGUCCGUGUCCCGCCAGGCGCCGAACCCGGGGUCCAGACGGAGGAAAUCCGGUGUCCUCGUGGUCAUGGGCUUGAGCAUCCUGUCUUCGUACACUCCGUUCACGCCGGCGGCGGUCGCCAUGCGACGGGCCUCGUCGCCGGUGAGCUGGACGGCGAAGCCGUGCAUGACAGUGUCGUAGGUGUAAGAUGCGGCUGAAGUCGUCGGCGGCCACGGAACGAGGUGAGUGGGGUGGCCACCAUGGAAGUGUACCAGUGCUUGAGGGAGGCGAAGUGGGACGGCUUGGCGAGGUGGUUGGCAUGGACGAUGUAGUUGUUCGACGCCCGAGGCUUGAGCGCGGGCUGGUUGUUGGUCUUCGGGACGAGGGCUGAGUGGGUGAGCUGCGUGAGGAAGAGGAAUAGGGCUAAGUGGUGCAAGAGCCUGGUGGUGAUGGACGCCAUUGUGUAUCGUGCAGCGCAACAGGCGCGAUCCACGGGUGACUGCACUUUCUACAAGUUCGUUUGGCAAAACCGCGCCCCUCCGCGUGUACGUUUCUUUGCCUGGCUGUUAGUUCAAGGGAAGAUUCAGUGCAAGACAAACCUGCUGCUUAAGAUCAUCAUAGAGGAUGCCACGUGUGACUUAUGCACGGCCGAGAUGGAGAGCCCUGACCAUCUCAUCCUCCACUGCCCCUUUGCCAAGCGCUUCUGGCUGCAACUGGGGUUUCGCAUCCUGGCAGCUUUGGAAACACAGACAUGAUGUCGUAUUCAGAGGUGAAACUCCCACCCAUCUUCGGCUGAUACUCGCUGCAAAGCGGAAGCACGUCUCUGGCGGUGCCGACUGCCGCGCGACGACCAAGCUAUUACGGAGACCUGGUGGAACUCCUUUGGUUCAGAUAUGUAGUCACAAACACUCUCUGGAUACACCCCCCGUGAUUUUAUCUGUAACCUGCCGAAACUCAUGUUUUAAUGAGCCUGCCUCAAGGCUCCGAUAAUAUAUUGGUGGGGACUCUCUCUCCCCCCGUGACCCCUCAAAAAAAAAUAAACAGUAAAGUAAUUUCAAGCUGGUGAGGUGUUCGGUGGAUUGACACUAGGAGAUUUUUCUCAGUAGCAAAUAGUACAAGGAUUGAUAGAGAUGAAAUCCACAUGAGGAUGAUACGUGGGGCUUAGGGCCACUUGUCAGCAACAACAAUGUUUUUUCUACAUUAUUAUACAAUAUCUUUUCAGUACUGUAGGACAAAAAAAUGCUUGGUAUUUGAUGACCAAGGAAAAAUAUGGAAAUUCUAGGACUAUGAAACACUUGUAGGCAAGCAAGGGGUAGAUCCGUGGAUUGGAUGGAGUUAUUUAUGGUGUAAACCUAUGCAACAUUAGUAUCCAGUGUGAGAACUUGGGUAAUACUUAUGGCUAAUGGGCAUUACCUGCACGUUAUGUGACUUCAUCCGAGGGUUGUCCUAGAUUUACUCAAAUCAACAUGAACCCCUUCGCCUUUGGAAAAAUAGGAGAGAAAUUCUUGUAUGAUUACUGGGUUAGAGAUGUACUCGAAAGAUAUAAAGUUCCGAGUAAAGGAAAAGAAAGACAUACAGUUUUUGUCAAUUAUUAGGAUAAAUUUAUCCUAUAUAGAUAAAAUUGCAGGAAAAAGAGUACUUCACAAGACUUGCCGCUUUUGCCUGCUCACCCUAUGAAAAUGCAAUGCACUGGUGGGCAAGCACUAGCAUGUAUUGAAGCAAGCACUAGUGGGAAUAAUUCUGGGAUGUAAAACAAAUCAAAUUUUGGAGCUAUCCCGCUUUGGCAUUAUGGAUACAUAGAUACAUGGAAGUGUAAGAAUUUAAUUUCAUCAGGCUGCUAAAUCCGGAGAAGGCGACAUGUAUAAUAAAUAUGAACUCUGCACCAAUUUCCAUUCAGAAAUGACGAACUCUGAAGCCAGAGGAUGCUCCUAAGAAAGGCUAGACAGUGCUUGUCCUGCAGUCCUUUUCAACCAUCAGAAUUCCAUCAUUUUCUGCCAAUUUGAACUAAAGGCUAAAAUAGAUAAACCCAUUUACAUGAAAACUCCUGACGUCUUCCAUCUCAGAAUAGGAAUGGGUGGUUGGUCAGACGGCCACCUUGCAAAUCAUUCACAUCCAUUCAUUCAGAAUAAGACGCCACACACUAGCCUGGUCCCGCCUCAAAUAUGCUCUUGGUUCAACCAAAUUCUGUUCCAUCAGGCAAAGUCACAUCACACAUGUAAGAAAAACAAUGCUCGGUCAGCUCGGUUAGGUUAGUUAAGAUUCUGCCCAUGUAUGUAUCAACACGAUGAAACCAGUUGCUUGCAUGUGUCCUCUAAAUAUCAGAAAUAGCGUAAAUGAUGGAGCUGAGAGCUCUCUAUCUGUCACACUGUAGUACGAAGUGUGAAUCAUCAUCACGUAACACAGGCUGUUUAUUGAUAGGUAGUUGGUGUUCUUUUAUCCCUUGUUCCUUCUCACAUAUAUUAGUUCCACUUUCAGUCUGUGUCAAGCGUCAUAUGAUAUUUGCCAGGAUAUUGCCCCUCUUACCAUAAUCUAGAUUUGCAUCUACUUGCCAUUUCUUCUUACCAUGUUCGAAUGGUAAGAGGGGUAGGUGGAAGUGGUUCUGCAACCGAGUUACAUUUGAUACUGCAGAGUAGUUCUGUCAUGGGUGGUCUGAUUGCUUCCCCUGCCUGCUUGCAAUGGCAGUUGGUGUCACUGUCAUGUUUACUGGCACGGCAAGGCAUAUGUCCAGCCGAGAAACCGGAGCAGGCUCGCUGAUCAUCCUCUCUGGAGCAGCGCGACGCGACGCAAUCGAAGGCCCCGUCCAUCUUCUGAUCUGCUCGCACACCCCCAUUGACCAAACAAGGGCGGCGGAUCGGCCACGCCGUGUGCGCGGGAGGCGGCGAAUCACGCUCUUCCGGCCCUUGCUGCAGAGUACCAGAAAAAAUCUUGUGCUAGGGUUUGAAUAGGAGCAGGGAGGAUCGAUGGGUCCAAAUCGAACAUUCCGCUUGCACCGGACGGAAGACGCCGCGACCGUCGGCGGCGGUGGAUCACCUGCCUGGAGCGGGGGGAGAAUCAGAACGGUAAGCCGUGAGCUGGCACAUGCGAAGAAGGGCCUACUUGAAAUCGUGAAUGACGAUUAGGGUGUUUUUCAGAAAUAUCUGAUCCAAAAUUUGCACAUAAACCCUUAUUUUGAAUCGUGGUUUUUGAAAAUAUCUGUUCCAACACUUUACAUAAAUAUCUCUGCUUUGGAUCGCGAUUCAAAUUAAGGAGUUAUGUAUGAAAACUGUCUCAAUGGCGUGACGGCGUGACCGGCGACCACCGGUGGGCCUUCGCGAAUCCGUCGUGAUGCCUCCUGCGCCUUCAUCCAUGGACAGAGCCCUGGAAAGCAAGCAUCUGGCCUGCCCCCGUCACCAUUGCGUGGUGGCCCUCUUCUUCUCCUCGCCAAUGGCAGGUCCUCACCCAGGAGGAUUUGGAUUCUGACCUCUAAAGAACUCUCUGUUGCUCACCUGGAGGACCGAGGACAUGGAAAUGUGAUGAAUUGCAACUGUCGUGUUCAGUUCAGGCACACAGGCAAAUUUGAGAGAACACAAGAAAAUUCAAGAUUGUACUCCUAUCAGUGUCCAUAGCUCUCAUAGAGUCACAACAGAAGAUACUGAAUUUUCCAUGACAUAUCAACUCAUCAACGUAGCUUCACUUUCUUAUCUUAUUCUACUGCAAGUCUGCAAUUUUCUACCGGAAGUUAUCAUUUCUUCGUUCUGCCAGAUGAUGUGUACGAAAUCCCAGAAUUGGCCUGCCCGCCAAGGUGGCUCUCCUCUGCACCAUCUCAAUGUCCGGCCCUCAGCCCCUACUCCUGAAGUACAUGGACCCUGAACUCUGAAGAACUCCCUGCUGCUCACCUGACCCGGCCUGGAGGACUUGGAUUCUGAAGAAGAAUAAAUUGCUUAACUGCCUAACCUCAUCAGAAUAAUGCUUACAAGAACACAAAGAAAAUAUAACAGCAUGUACGGAAGCAAGCACUAGUUUUCUUCAAAAAAAAGGCACCCGUGGGAAUUCUGGGAUGUAAAACAAAUCAAAUUUUGGAGCUAUCGCGCUUUGGUAUACUAGAUACGUAGAUACAUGGAAGUGUAAGAAUUUAAUUUCAUCAGGUCGCUAAAUCCAGAGAAGGCGGCAUCUAUAGUAAAUAUGAACUCUGCACCAAUUUCCAUUCAGAAAGGAUGAACUCUGAAGCAAUAGGACAGUCACCAUGCAAAUCAUUCACAGCCGUUAGUUCAGAAUGAGACGGCACCCACUAACCUUGUCCCGCCUCAAAUACGCUUUUGGCUCAACUAAAUUCAAUUCCAUCGGGCAAAACCCAAAAGCUCUGCCCAAUAUCCUCGCACGCCCAAUACGAGCGGACUCUGGAGCCACAUUUCCGCAGCUGAUGUGCGCUCCACGCCUCGAUGCUAAAUAUACAUUCGACCGUAAGUUCUAAACUUACAGUCAAUCCGUCUCCCUAAGAUUUCGUCUCCCUCUUUUUUCUCCUUCCCCCUCCCUUUCCUCUACACCUUUCUCUGAGGAUGGCGGCGAGCUCCCCACGGCGAGCUCGCGGCGGAGCGGCGCGGCGCGGCGGGGCGGAGGGGGCGGCGAGCUCCCCAGGUACCGUAGUGGCUUUUUUUUCUUUUUCUAUUUUUGGAUGUAAAAGUUUUUUAUAAAACUCUUUUCCUAAAUUUUUUUUAUUUUGGAUGCAAAAGUUUUCACAAAACUUUUUCUGCCAAACUUCUUUUUUGUAUGCAAAAAUUUUUUCUUCAAAAGUUUUUAAUUUUUUCUCAAAACAUUCUCUUUCAAACUUUUUUAUCAAAGUUUUUUCGCGCUCUCCAAAUUUUUUCUUUGAAUUUUUUUCAAAAUUUUUUGUCAGAAAAAGACAAAAUUUACUUAAAAAAGGGAAAAAAACAUCGGAAGAUCGACCAUACGAGCCCUCCAGUUGCGGCUCACCGAUAAAUUCUCGCCUACUCCCGCGGUCUUUCGUCGCGCGUACCAUUUUGCUCUUUCUCUGUUGCGUGACGGAAAAAAAAAUAGGUGGGGACGGUCCCCAAACGCUCUGCCGUGCGGAUCCGCGCUUGCGUGGACAGUCUGAGCAUCUUACGGCGACUUGGUGGAGCGCCUCCUCCGCAGCAAAGCUCGCUUGCUCAGCUCCGUUCCCAGGCGGGAGUGGCUCGGCUCCCACGCACUGGUGGUCUCAUGCCCAGACCUCCGCCAUUCUUCUAACGGGAAUCAGUUGAAACAUCUUGGCCCGUCGAGUAAUCUCCGCUGAUAUCUGUGGGAUCUUUAUUCAAUGCUCAACUUGAUUCAUGGAGGCAUGUUUGAGUGCUUGAGCUUAGUUGGCUCGGUAAAUUUGCUCAUUAGGGCUUCACAGUUUCAGUAGUUUUUACCUGAAUUUUCUGUUUGUAAAUUACAGAUAAUAAAGUUCCAAAUCAUUUGUGGUACAAGUUGUAUUUCCCAUGCUUUAGCGUAAAGCAAAAUCGAAAUAAAAUAUUUGGCAUUCAUUGUGGGGGAAGUUGAGAUGGAUUUGCUCCCAGAGUAGAUGUCUGAAGGAUGGCGGUCAGCUCUCAAGAAUUCAAAAACCAAUAGAUUACAGUAGUUUCGAGCAACGAAUGGUGCUUGCUGUGAUAUGGUACAAUUGCUUGAUGCCUUCACAUCCCGUGAAGUAUCAACAAUGAUGGUUUCAGUCAGAUAAAGGAGGCAAACAAGUAUUCUAUAAUGAACUGGAUAACACAGUACACUUAUUAUUAUCAACAAACAUCUCGUCGACAAUUCUUCAGAGCUCCAGACAUCUCACCGUUCCCAUUCCAUGGAGCAAGACAUUGUGGACUGGGUUGCCGGCAGAUAUAUCCCGUACGGCGGCCUGCUAGAGCUGGCUCUCCACCAUGGGUAUCGCCGUCACGCCGUGAACCUCGUCAUGUACCUCACGGGCACCAUGCACCUGUCCAGCAUGGUGGGCUGCGAAAGCCGUUAUUGACUCACGGGCACCUCCUUCCUUCUCUGCCCUCGACGGAUUCCCUGCCGACUCCUUCCUUGGACGAGCGGCGGCGGCCAAGGCGGCAGCAGAUGGGGGGAGGGGGAAGCAGCGGCAGAUAUAUGGAACUCACGCCUGAAGUCGAUCAAGCAAAUUGAGCCAAGCCAAAGCCAACGAGCAAAUAAGGUGGAAGCCGAGCCGAGCGAAACGAGGAGCCAGGAGCUCUGCCAGAGUCCCAGGCAGGCGUCGGAUCCACUGGAUGCCCACGCGGUGUUCAUCGAGCGCGGGUCCGCACGGGAGGGCAUUUGGGGACCGUCCGCACCUAAUUUUUUUCCUGCGUGACACGCCCAAGACUGCCUCUGUCACCAGCCUUACAGGUUACAACAGCUGUUGAAUUGGUACGAUCUUUGUCCUGAAUGCUUUUGCUACUGUCGCCGCCUCCCGUCCAGUGUUGGCGCGUGCCUCAAUUCCGCUGUCAGAUGCGUCUCCUGGCGUAUGCCGCGCUCCAUGUCCAGCCGGCUUCUGACGUCUCCAUACUAUGACAUAGCCUUCCAUCCGUCCAUCAGGAAAAGAAAAUAGAAAAAGGACAGAGGCAUGACGACAGAAAAUAACGUUGAGAGGAGGUCACGCUGGUAGUUUCACGUGGAAAAAAAAAAUCAAAAGAUGGACCCACAAACUGAUAAUGUGCCAUAGCUUCAAUUUUUUUGGAACCAAUUUUGGGAACUGUUGGGUGAGGAAGUCCUUCUUUGGCGAGAUCAAAAAGCAGAUUUUUGGACUUAUAUUUUUAGACAUUCUUAGAGAUGCUCUAAUGUGACUGCAUUUGGGGCAAUGCUAAUGCUCGUGUGCACUCUGUGGUAGUGAGUUUACUCAAUUUUCAGUAAUGCUUAAAUGAUAUGAGCACGACAGUCUUGAGCUUCCCAAACUUCCAACCCGCCAUAAAUCACGGGUCAGGCACGGGCUCAUUUUUACCCAAAACCCAAAAAUCCGACCCGACCCAAAAAAUGUACGUGAAAAAUUGGAUUUUACCUGACCCGAUCCGACCACAUGCUGGUCGGGAACGGGCCUAUUUUUUUACCCAACCCGACCCGACCCAAAGAAUGAUCAGGUCUAGUCUAAGGUCAAAUACAAUCCAAACAGGACCACUGGAAACCAUAGCACAGGCGAGAGAUACAAUACCUACCGUGAAUAUUAGAAUAAUCUGUAUUAGUUUCAUAGGAUGUUUAUAUGUUUACUCAGAUCCCAAACAAUAUAUCUAGAGAUAACGAGAUAUAGAAACAUGAGAUACCUUACCAUAAUAACAAGUAACCUAGAUUUUGCCAUAUGCUAUCUCGCUCCGUACCGAUUGAUAUAUGCACUGCCCUACAAAUAUUGCGGGCGCCACGGUGGUGGUGGCAGAUCAUCCACCGAUCGAGAACCAACUAUGCGUAAGUGCAUAGCAAUGCCGUGGGCCCGUGGCCGUGGGGAAGCAGGAUCCACAACGAGCGCAUGCCCGCCCCUCUCAGGAACUUGCUCAAGUGGACGGAGGUGUUCUUCACCAAGAACGAUCUCAAGCGAGCCAAGCUAGCCGUCGAGAUGGCCUGCCAAGCGUUCCCCUCGUCCCGGGAGGCCCGGCGCGCGCGCUUCGCCGUCUUCGUCCACAUGGCCGCCGCUGACUGGGCCGCGGGUGUCGACCGCUACCUCCUCGGCGGAAGAACCACCGUCAGAGGCUUCCUGCGCUCCGCAACCCGCAGCGAAGCCGACAGGAGGGACCUCCGCGAUCUGCUCGACCCAGCCAAGAGUCGUCACUACUCCGCCGUAGCCGCGUCCGCGUACCAGUUCCUCCUCUGCAUGAUAGAGGACUGAUGAAUCCUCUGCUGAUGUAAAACACGCACGGCUUGGCUGCCUUCUUCUCCUCCUCAAUAGCAGGCCUCACCCCGGAGGCUUUUGAUUCUGAAGAACUCUCUGUUGCUCACCUUAUUGCUCGGCCUGGUGGACAUCGAGUUCUGAUCUGAAGAAGAUAAAAUCCUUACCAGCUUGCAAAUGCAAUUUAUCAUGUUCAAUUCAGGCAGACAAGCAAAUUUAAGGGAUCACAAGAAAAUUUAAGGUUAGAGUAUAACCAUUAACAUCAAUAGCUCUCGCAGAGUCACAACACAAGAUACUGAUUUUUUUUUUCACGACCGAUCAACUGAUCAAUACAUCCCGCACUUAUUCUACUGCAUUCUGCAAGUUUCUACUGGAAGUCAUCAGUUCUACCAAUGGCAGGCCACUGGGCUCCUGACAUGAUGGUUCUCGUUCUGCCAGAUGAUGUGUCCGAAAGCCCACUCUGUCUUCCGGUUUCCAGGGGCUUCAUUUCUGAAUUCCACCGUGUAGCUCUUCAUCUCCUUGGGCUCCUUGAACUCCAGGGUCGGCGGCGUGACGAUCACCUUCACGUGCUCCGGCGCCUUGACGAUGACAGUGUAAGUCUCGGCCUCCUCGGACACCUUGGUCAGCGUCCGCGUCAGCGUGCGGGUGGCGGUGCGGUUGUCGAAGACCACGGCAAAGGACGGGUAGUUGAGGCCGGCGGGGCCGCCGGCGAGCGUCCUCGUGCAUGUGAUGAAGUCCGGCACGAACGAGCGGAUCUGCCCCGCGCUGUAGUUCAUGGCGCACAGGAAGUCGACGUAAUCGCGCUCGCCGGCAUCGUAGACCAAGCCCGGGUCCAGCGCCAGCCGUGGGCGGAUGUGCCCGGCCCCGGCCACCAGCGGCGUCGCGGCCGUGUCGUUGUUGCUGCCGACCGUGACGCCGUUGUCGCGGAUGUCCCGGCCGCGGUUGUCGAGCGUUCCAGCGGUCGUCAUCAGCGCCGACCGUAUCAUGGCCGGUGUCCAGCUGGGGUACUCCUUCUUGAUCAGCGCCGCGAUGCCGGCGACGUGCGGGCACGCCAUGGAGGUGCCCGAGAUGAUGUUGUAGUCGCUUCUCCUCCCGUCGUCGAAGUGGGAUGAAUCUCCCAACAGAGAGGCGGCGCCGGACCAGGCGGCAAGAAUGUUGACUCCUGGCGCGAUGACGUCGGGCUUGAGGAGCUCAGGGGCGCCGAAGUUGGGCCCCCGCGACGAGAAGCUCACCACCACCGGCGCCCGGUUCUUGCCGGUUACCGUCUCACAGCCGAAGCUGAAGGACGCCACUGGCUUCGGCUCCGAGGCCAUGUAGGCCCUGAGCUUCUCGCCUCCGGUGUAGCUCAAAGUGAGAGCAGGAAGGGGGAAGGCCGUGGCCAUGAUGCCAUCCCGUAACCAGCUAGUAGUAUCCACAUCAACCAGCCCGGAUCCACCAGCAUUCUGCGCCUUGAUGCCAUGCGGUAUGCCUGCUCCGGUCGUGCACACCACGAUCUUGCCCAUGAUCUUGUCGGGCGUGAAGUUCUCCGGCACAGAGCAAUCGGUGGACACCAGCUCGACCAUGCUGGUGCCCUUGGCCUGCAUGGUGUAAAGGGACUUCCCGGCGAGCACGACCCCGUUCCCGAGCGUGAGGUUCGACGGGAACAGCCGGUCCACGGUGGCGGCGCCUACGGUGGUCAUCCACGGCGCCGAGUUGCUUACCGUAGAUGCCAUCGGGCCGGAGUUCCCGGCCGAGAGAGCCACGAAGAUACCUUUGCGCUCGGCACCGAACGUGGCGAUGGCGAUCACGUCGUCGUGGAAGGGUUGGGGAGGGCCUCCGAUGGACAUGGAAAUGAUGUCAACGCCGUCCUUGACCGCAGCGUCCACGGCGGCUACCAUGUCCGCGUUAGAGCACCCGCCGGGGCCGCACGCCUUGUACAUGGCGAUCCUCGCCUUGGGCGCCAUUCCCCACGCGGUCCCUCGCGAGAACAUGUAGAGGCUGGCGUCGGGGACCUGCGCGCCGGCGGCCGUCGAGGACACGUGCGUACCGUGUCCGAUCCUGUCCCUCGGGGAGGGGACGCCGCCGCCGCUCGUGCUUCCCGCCAUUGCCUUCGCGGCAGCGUCGAAGGCCUUGGCGCCAACCAGCUUGUUGUUGCACAAGCUGGAGUUGAAGUCGUGGGCGUCGACGCACUCGCCCCUCCAGCUCGGCCGGACGGGGCCGAGCCCGCUGUCAUCGAAGCUCACGCUCUCGGGCCAGAUGCCGGUGUCGAUGAAGCCGAUGAUGACGCCGUCGCCGUAGUUUGUCUCGUUCCAGGCGGCGUUCCCCGGGUCGAGGCCGAUGAACCCCGGGGACCUCGUGGUGUGAAGGUUGAUCAGCCUGUCCUUGUACAGCCCGGUGACGCCGGGUGCGCUGGACAUGCCCCGGGCCUCGUCGUCGGUGAGCUGGACGGCGAAGCCGUGCAUGACGGUGUCGUAGGUGUACAAGAUGCGGCCGGUGUUGACGGGCCGAGGUGAGUGGGCGGCCACCAUGGAAUGGUACCAGUGCUCGAGGGAGGCGAAGUGGGGCGGCUUGGCGAGGUGGUUGGCAUGGACGAUGUAGGUGUUCGACGCCUGAGGCUUGAGUGCGGGCUGGUUGUUGGUCUUCGGGACGAGGGCUGAGUGGGUGAGCUGCGUGAGGAAGAGGAAUAGGGCUAAGUGGUGCAAGAGCCUGGUGGUGAUGAACGCCAUUGCUGGUGGAUGUCUGAGCUCGAUGGUGAAGGAGUGCGUGCCCGGGGAGGGCUUUAUAUAGGCGCCUACACACAGCACGGUGGUUUCAAACUGGUGUAGUGGUAGAUCAUGGUGGUCGGUGGACUGAAACUAGGAGAAAACUCUGCUCAAUAGUAGAAAGUAGUUCAAGGAUUGUUAGAAAGGUAAUACACAUGAGGAUGACACGUGGGACCCAGGACCACUUGUCAGUGACAAUAAGGAAAUGCCUAGAGUGUGCCUCUAGGCUCUAGUGCGCACUUCAGCAAGUGGCAGAUGGAUUUAUCGGUGGUGUGAGCCUAUUGGUAACGCUUGUACAAUCCUCAUGGCUUAUGGCAAUUACCAGCACUAGGUGAGUUCACCUGAGGAUUAUCCUAGAUUUAAUCUCAUCACACAAACCCCUUGGAAAAAAAGAAAAAUGGAUAAUUACUGGGUUGGAGGUCUACAAAGUUCCCAGUAAAAUAAAAGAAAUAUAUAAAGUUUUGUGAACCUGGUCAGGAGCUCUUCCAAAUUUUGGUCCUUUUUUGCAAUUAUUAGGUCAAAUUCAUCCUAUUCAAACUCUGAAAAUGCAGCGCAAUGAAUUAUCUUGCACUCUAUGCCCGUGGGUAGCAAAUUCCAGGCCAGAUAUAUGUAUCUGAAGCGGGCAAGCUGCAACCAGUGCUACGCUGCAAAGCGCUAGUGGAAAUUAUGGGUUUAAGACAAACCAAAAUUUGGGGCUAUCUGGCUUUGGUACACAAGAUAGUGCAAGAAUUUGAAAUUUAUCAUGCCACCAAGUUCAUAAAUAGCAGUGCGGGAAUCGGGAUAGUGAAUAUGAACUCUGAAGCAAUCUCCAUUCGGAAAAGAUUAGCUCUGAAACAAUAGGAUCCUCCUAGAAAGGUUAGACAACGUUUCUCCUGUAGCUUCCUUCAACCAUCAAAAUUUGGCUCAUAUUCUGCCAUUCGGAGGCUGAGAUUACAUGAUAAACCCAUUGUCGAGGAAAACUCCAGGCGCCUUCCAUUUCAGAUUAGGAAUUGGUAGAAAUAAACAUCGAGUGGGAGAGUCACCUUGCAAAAACACAGAACCAUUUAUUCUGAAUGAGAAUGCUUCCACUAUACCUCUCCAGCCUCAAAUAUCCUCUUGGUUCAAUCAAUCCAGUUCCAGCAAGCAAAGCAUGCAAGAAAAACGGUGGUCAGUUGUGUUUCUUCCCAUAUGUAUGUAUGGAUGAUGCUACCAGUUGCUUGCAUCUGACUCCUCGAAUAUCAGAAAGUGUAACUGAUAGUAGCUCUGAAAUAGCUUCAGCCAUUUAUAAUGAAAUAAAAUCCUAUAAAAACAAUCCAGAAUGGAUUCACGUACAAGCUAUAUACAGUUUCCAUUUCCAAGCGACAUGAUCAAUUGAAGCUUUCUUGCUCCUAUUAUAGUCUUGAUCCACACCCAACUCGCUGCAUGCGCUUGAGGGCUGCAAUACGCAAACCUGUGCCCGACGCAAUCACCUUAACAAAUAGAAUACCUCAGUCAAACAGAUCAGUCGAUGAGGUUAGAAGUGAUCUUAUAAGAGUAAUAAUUUCCCUCGGUUUGUCGUGAGACAUGAAGUACAACAGAUAGCAUAUUUUCUUCUUUAGACUACAUACAACUCAAGGUAUCCUAGAUUUGAUGCCACCUGACAAUGAAACUAUCUUCUGGAGAACUUUGACAGGAGAUAGACAACCAAGAAGCAAAACAGAGCGAAGAGGACAACAUGGAGAACAUGAUUUGAGCCCUGCCGGAUGAUGCUCUUGUUCAACCUUCGCAUGUUAUUCUUCACUCCUGCCUGAGCUUUUGCAAGGGUCAUUUGCUGUACAUGCACAGGAGAUAACAAAGGUCAGAGCAUGACCAUAGAUUGUCAGAGAGCAUAGGAAAAAAUAGCUGCUCCGUAAGGUAAUAUUGCUGUUAUAUUACAUUUGGGGCCUUAACAACCUAAAUGUAGUUAUAUUUAAUGCAUCAAUCCACUGUUUUAUGUUUGCUACAGUUCAUCCAUGGCACCUAUAAGAUCAAAUAAGAUAAGUGACCUCAUGUGUAGAUGCAAGUAUAGAAUAUGACACAGGGAAACAUUCUAGGAAAUUUCAUGAUGAGGACUAUAGGUGGUGGUAAGAUUGAACAAACACCGAUAUCAGAUGAAAAAAGUAAAAGGCACACGAACUACUAAGGACAAACAAGACAUAACAAAGAGGAUGCCAAGAUAUAAUCCCAGUAGCCACAGUAAACGUAAAUAAGAAAUAGCAGAGAACAUUACCAAUUGGUUAAGGAAAUCAUUCUGGAACUUGGCUUCAGAAUUUAUCUCCUGGGCCACCUGGAGAAAUAACAGAUGCCAAAAGUUCAAAUCUUGGAUCCCAGAAUGAGAACAAACACCGACAUCAGUAGCUUUCAAGAAUCUAAGGAACAGCUUAUAACAAUGAUUGCAAAAAUGAGCAGUUUCUACUUGACCUACAUGCAGUAUAUUUGAAGUAUACAAAAAAAUAGCCAUCGACUAGCUCUGCAUGGGAGAGAAUUUACAGCAUCAAGGCCUAUGAUAAUAAGAAAUGGAGCAACAUCAACAUGGAAGUUUAAUGAAAUCAAUGAAUACUCUCAGCAGAAGAUAAAAGAAAAUAAGAGAUCAACGAGAUAGCUAAUCAUAGAAAAUAUAAUGAUGGGUCAGGAGCCAUGACCAACAUAAAUCAUCAUGAAUUUCUGAUUCACAAAUGGAAAGGUACAAUGAAACUGCGGCACAUGCAUACAUAUGGUGAUCUGAGCAAAUGACUGUUAAACAUACGCUUAUUCAUAUAUUGCAUUUCCAAACACCCAAGAUCACAUCAGUUAUGAAAAAACACCAAACCCACUCUACGACCAUCAUGUCACUAAUAUCAAAUAACUCAAUGCCCAUUUGAAACAAGGAAAUAAGUUUCAUAUCAUGUGGGAACUGAAUAGUUCCCCGUAAAAUUCCUACAACAUUAUCAUGAAAUUCUUGUGUUAGAAACCUUGCUGUUAGCAGCAUAAUGAACUGGUGUUAGAAACCUUGCUAGCAACUAAUAUCAAAGUAGCAGUCUCCUGUGCUUUAAACCUGGCAGUAACAGGGUAUUACCGUUGGGAACCAGAAAUCCCAUUGGGUGCCAGGAGCACUUUAGGUCCCAAUUGCAGUUUGUUAUUCAUCUGACAUGGUUCUAAAUCUAGUUCUAUACACUCCCAACUGUUCUAGGUUUAAAGACGGUGGAACAAAGUUAGCUGAAAUAGCAAGGUGCAGCAGCACCAUGCGCUAAAUCGAACUACAUGUUAAAACAAAAUUGAGCAACUACGAGAUAUACCUUGAAUCGCCACAUGAAAACAAUCUACUACGCGCUGCACACCCAAUCAAUAGGUUUCCUAGCUACGGAAUCACGGUUGCAAAGACCCCCCUCAAUUGAGCACCAAGCAAACCUACGGCGCAAGGAACAUCAAGCACCACGACGGACCAAGUCGGAAGGGAAAUCAAGUCUUACCCCUUUGAGCAUGCGGACCCUGGAGUGCAGCCCGUCGAUCUCCUCGUCGAGGUCCCCGUGCACCGGGUCGAUCCGCAGCUGGAUCUCGUCCGAGCUCGCCGCGUUCCUGCAAACCCCCCCCCCCCACCAUAAGCGCUCAAAAUCCAUCACCAGAUCCGAUCCGAUGCCUCCGGGUACAGAGGAUCGGACGAGACGCCGCGGAGGUGGUACGGUAGGGUUUACCUGGAUCGGAGCGGGCCGGAGCCGUACAUCGGGUGCGCCAUCGCCCCUGCCGCGCGCGAGGGUGUACGGAGACCCGGACCUGGCUCGAAUCGGCGAGGGAUCGUGGCGCGGCGGCGUGGGGAAGACGGCGACGGCGGGCGGACGCGGGGGAGGAAGGGGAAUGGGGGAGACUGGGGGUGACUAGGAACGGGGGGAGGACGGAAAGCCGUGUCUCUGGCGCUGGGUCCCAGAUGUCAGAGAGUUAUUAUUUGAUGGAUUCCGAAUUUCCGAUAUGUGGGGCCAUACCAUGUAGCCCUGUACUCCUAUAUCAGUAUACUAGUAUACGUGUGAUUUUUUACGACCAUAGGCCGAUAGGAUACAUACUAACAUACAGCUAUACAAGCAUCCGAAUUUCUAUUUCCAAGCAGCCUGCAGCCAUGCUUGAUUUUCUUUUUCUCUGACACACACGGCCAUGCCAUUCUUCUGUCGCGAUAGUAAAAAAGAAGAAGAAGGAAUCCUGCAGCAUUAUCUUUCUCUGCAAGAUUUAUCGUGGAUGCAUGCAUGGGGAGCCAUUUCCGUGGACCGCAGCAACAAUCUAAACAAUUUCCAGCUCGGGGGAUGUUCGUUUCUUAGGGUCUAAAGUUUAGACCCGUCACAUCAAAAGAAUCUUGUCAUUUAGAAGUAUUAAAUAAAAUCUAAUUACAAAACUAAUUGCAGAACCCUAGAGCUAAUUCGCGAGACGAAUCUAAUGAGGUAUAUUAGUUCAUGAUUAGCGGAUGAUUACUGUAGCAUUACUGUGGCAAAUUAUGGAUUAAUUAGGCUCGUUAAAUUUGUCUCGCGAAUUAGCACCCAUCUGUGAAAAAAAAUUUAUAAUUAGACUUUAUUUAAUAAUUCUAAAUAAUAAAAUUCUCUUUAAUAUGACGGAUCUAAACUUUAGAGGGUGGAAACGAACACACGCUUGGUCAUCCACAAGCAACGGCGGCAUGAAUCGGCGCACCGCACCACCCACGCUCACCCGGUCACCGCCGGCUGGCAUCCGCGGCCGGAAGCACGCCGCCGCCGCCUCCGUUCCCCCGCUGUCCACUCGCCCCCACCGCACGCCCGGGCCUGGCGGCGGAUGACGUGACGCUGACGUGCGGCGGGAGCACCACCACCAACGCCAAGGCACGUAUCUUGGCUGUCCCUUUCCCCAGUGUCCUUGCAUCGUCCCGGCCUCGUUGGGCCCCACCUCGGCGACCCCCCGCCCCUGCAUAUAUUUCCCUGUCCGUACACCCUCGUCGCCUUCCAUCGGCGUCGGCCUCGGCUCCAGUCACCCCGCCGCCGGAGACGGCUGCUGCGGCCGGGCCGGGGCUCCACCUUACGGAGGUUCUGCGGGACUGUGAGCCGCGCGGGCGGCGACCCCAACCCUCGCCGCUGCAGGUGAGCUCGUUGCAAGCUCUGAUAGUCUGAUCUGCCUCGCUCUGUUUGGUUCGUUCUCGAGGACAUUGGGGAGUGGGAAUGGGAUUUGUGUGGCUGCAGAGUGCAGACUGGUGUGUGGGCCAUACCGUCCACUGUUUUUUCCCCUUGGAGACGAUCUAGACGAUGGUUGCAUGCAUGGAUGCCAUUCUUUUGCACCCAAUCUGCUUCGGCGAUGAGAGGAGAGAACACGGUAGCUGUGUCUUCUCAGGAACAGCUCCGCGUGGAGUGUCCCUAGGUGUUCGGCUGGCUCCAUGGCGCCAUUUUGUUGGACUACUGCGGUAUUCACCAGCUUGGUCAACCAGCACAGUACAUCGCACUCGCACGCCACCUGUUCGGCAUUCCACCGGUUCGCUCACCACGCGCCCACGGCUGUCCGCCCAACCACGCCUGCAGCGCUCUCUCUCGCCACCGGCCGCCGCACGCCCGGGGCUGACGGCGGAAUGACGUGACGCGACGGGGCGGCGUGCGGCGUGCGCAACACUUACCCUUGCCUCGUCCCGGCCUCGGCGGGCCCAACCGGGCGGGAUCAUAUUGUUUUCUUCGUGCUCUUCUCCUCAUGUGACCUCUCCCCGUCCGGCCCCGUCGCCUUCCAUCGGCGUCGGCUCAAGUAUCUCCCCGCCGCCCGAGACGGUUGGUGCGGGGCUCCUCCUCCGGGGAGACUCUGAAUCCGGAAUCCCUCGCCGCCGCUGCUGGUGAGGCCGUUGCGAGGUACAGUACGUACCAUGAAGGCAUGAACAGUCCCCCCUCCCCCCCCCCCCCCCAAACAAUGAAGACGAUCUACGUGAUGGUUACACGAACGUGCACGCCGUCCGGCGAUCGUCUCCAGAGGAGAAUCCGGUAGCACCAUCUUCUCGGGAACGGUGCACUGUUCCAUUCGCCUCUGACUAGUCUCCGACUAGCAUUUCGGCUCCAGCGACAUGCAGUGAGAGCCGUUUCCGCGGACCACGGCGAUCGAGUACUUUACUGCUCCCCAUCUUGGUCAAAGCUACAGCAACAUAGUGUACGUUGCAGUUGGACGCCACCUGCCCUCCAUUCCACCCGUUCGCUCACCUCAUCACCUGUGUGCUGCUCGUUUUUUACAGGACGCGUCGCGGUCGCGCUGGUCGCCGACCGCCGGCAGCGCGCGGCCGCCGGUCCGGUGCACGCGUCGCGCAGAACGCCGGCCACCGCUCGGCUCCGCCUAGAAAGGAAAGGAAAGGAUCGCGUCGCACGCCCCCCUCACCUUCCCGGUCACCGGUCUCCGCUGUCCACCCGUGCCGAGGCAAAGCGCCACCCACACCCCCCGGACGGGCGGCUGGCGGCGGCCAUGACGUGACGCGCGGCGCCCGCGCCACCAAAAAGUCGGCAAUAAAUUCUUCUCCGGUAUCUUUUCGUCGUCUCCUAGUCGGUACCCGGGCCCACCACCCGAGCAGCGCGGGCUCCGCGACCUCCGCUCCCCGCUCGUCCCGUCCCGGUGGUGCCUGGUGCGCCCGGCGCACUGCGCGCCCCGAUAUAUACAAUACAAUACUCUUCUUUCUCCUCCGCGAUUGCGUCCCCGCUUCCGCUUCUCUCCCCCUCUCCUGUCUCCUCCGCCUUCCCGCCGUCCACGCGACGUUCCUCGGGCCCGUCGCCUUCCUUCGGCCCACCCACCCACCCCCCUCUCUCUGACACAAGACAGUUGCGGUGGGGCUCGUUCACUGACUUCAUUCGGAAAGUGCAGAGCCCCCCGACUCCCGGAGCCGCGCGGAGCGGGCGAGAGCGGAGACCCUCGCUGCUCCUGCAGGUGAGCUCCAUGGCCUCCCUGUUUGGUUGGUUUCCGCGGUUUCUUGGGGACGGCAGUGGCUGGGUUAGUUUCACCGCUGCCUUUGGUUGAUCGCCAUGGAAUUUGAGGUCGGGGUUGGCUCCCGGGAACCUUGGGCGGACCGGACGGAACGGAACUCGUGUGUUCUGGGUGUGAUCUUGUGCGUUAGGGGUACAAGAUAUCUCGCGGGAUAUUUCUCAUUUCUUAUUAGGGUGUGUGCAGUUUUCUUUUCUGCGGGCGGUUCAUGGGGACCAGGACUGCUAAAACAGAUCGAUCAUUUUCGAAAGCUUUUAUUGCAGUCUCGUUGCUGCUUCACUCACUUUGGAUCCAGUUCUCGCGGACCUGGGCCUGGGGCUGCUCCAAGAACGGCCUGCGGAACUUUUAGCGCAGUGCAAUUGCUGUUUGAGUGUUUGUUGCGAUUUGCGGACGUUUGGGCACUCUGGAUGUGUGGGCCUGAAUAUGUGAGAACCGAGAAUCCUUGUUCGGAUUUGGUGAAAAGCCAGGGGAAUGGGAAAGGUGAGACCACAGGUGGGCUCAUAAAGUUGAAGGAUUAGUAGGAUGGUGUAGCUAGUGGAAACGCGAAUAUAUCUUUUCGGACGUCAAUUUGUUUCAUAACUUUGGCGCACUGAAGUACUAGUAGCUGAUGUGCCCAUUACUCUAAAAAAAACAAAAAAACAAAAACAAAACUGAUGUGCCCCUAAGGGCUGGUCAUAGGAACAUGGUUUUUUAUUUGGGUGAUCGGCUUGAGAGUUGAGACUGAUUGGCCUGGUGCAAAGGUUGUACUUUUGCCUAUUGCAAUCAGUAAGGCGGUCCACAUCUCGUGUUUAUUGCAGGACAAUAUAACAGUACAUGUCAGGAUCAGUAAUGCAAGUGAAACUUGGAUCUUGUUCUGUUACUGUAGCUAUCGCAUAGAAGUUCACAACUGAUAAUCAAUGUAUCAGUGUGUCGUCACUUGGUUAAUCCAAAUAUAUUCCUGAUGAACUAGACUUGGUUUUUAAACUGAUUUUUUCCUGCGAAAACUCAUGAGUAGCAUGCAAACAGUUUCCGUGUUUAUGAUGUUUAUGGAACUUCUAGGUAGCAGCUUUGCAGUGUUAUUCUGUUUUUUUCCGAAGUUGCGAGUGAGACUUUGUGCUGGUUAAGCACUGAUAAGUGAUAAACUGAUAACUAAAUAUGACAUGAUUGCCAUUGUGGUGCAGGUGAUACUUUUGUAGCCUUGCUAAUAAUAAUGGUUAAUAUGAGGGACAACGAAUCGCCAUAUGAAGCACAAAUGGAAGAACCCUUAGGGAGGGUGUCUAUACUUUCUUACGGUUCUGGGCAUAUGCUUAAUGACAUCACAUCGUCGUGUUGGUUUACCUAUUUGCUGGUGUUUUUGACUGAUGUGGGACUUAGUCCAGGGUACGUGCUUUCUGGGUUACAUCUCUUUUUCUCAUAUUCCAAUCUAUGAGUAUGUUCUGUCCUGUAGCAUGUGGCUCAAUUAUGUUAAACUGGAGGUAUUUUUGAACUCACUUUAGCUUUAGUCUUAACUCUUUAUCCACUCUGCUUGAAGAGGAAUUUUACGCUGCUAUGAAUUAGGAAGUAAGUUCAUGUUUAAUUUCAAGUUGUCUUAGACGUGAUUCAGUAUCUUACUGCAAUAUUCUCAAACAUCUUUAAAAAAAAAUUACGAUCUAAAACUUUAAUGUAAGUAUGCACAACUGUUCAUCAAAUUCUUCUGUCCCUUUUUGUAACUAGUGCUAGUAAUGUUCAAAAUUUGGCAAAUAAGACUUUACCAUGUUUCAAUACAAAUGAGGCUACAACAGAAAUGUUAGUUCCUAGGGAAUGCCAAUUACCUUUUUUAAAAA
This 63825-nucleotide long non-coding RNA is filed under the name Panicum hallii. Its description in RNAcentral is "long non-coding RNA (PHAL_LNC000218)". The record is from RNAcentral. Lineage: Eukaryota; Viridiplantae; Streptophyta; Magnoliopsida; Poales; Poaceae.